RNAcentral lists this long non-coding RNA (51334 nucleotides) under Gossypium barbadense (sea-island cotton). Its description in RNAcentral is "long non-coding RNA (GBAR_LNC001208)". The stretch from base 32048 to 32154 matches the Rfam family "Plant small nucleolar RNA R71". Lineage: Eukaryota; Viridiplantae; Streptophyta; Magnoliopsida; Malvales; Malvaceae. The record is from RNAcentral.
GAGGUGGUGGAGACUUAUACUUGUAAACCGGAGGUGGUGGGGGUGGAGACUUGUACUUGUAAGGGUGCUUGGGUGGGGAUAGAGGUGGUGGUGGGGGAGACUUGUACUUGUAGGGAUGCUUGGGUGGUGAUGGUGGUGGUGGUGGUGGAGACUUGUACUUGUAAGGAUGCUUUGGAGGUGAUGGUGGUGGUGGUGGAGACUUGUACUUAUAAGGAUGCUUUGGGGGUGAUGGUGGUGGAGGUGGGGACUUGUACUUGUAAGGGUGCUUGGGUGGUGAUGGUGGUGGAGGUGGUGGGGACUUGUACUUGUAAGGGUGCUUGGGUGGUGAUGGCGGUGGAGGUGGUGGAGACUUAUACUUGUAAACUGGAGAUGGUGGGGGUGGAGACUUGUACUUGUAAGGGUGCUUGGGUGGUGAUGGUGGGGGUGGGGGUGGGGGUGGGGACUUGUACUUGUAGGGGUGUUUGGGUGGUGAUGGUGGUGGUGGUGGUGGGGACUUGUACUUGUAAGGAUGCUUGGGUGGUGAUGGUGUUGGAGGUGGAGGAGACUUGUACUUGUAAGGAUGCUUGGGUGGUGAUGGAGGAGGUGGUGGGGACUUAUACUUGUAAACAGGAGUUGGUGGGGGAGGAGAUUUGUACUUGUAAGGCUUCUUGUGUGGUGGUGGUGGUGGUGGAGAGUAGACCGGAGGAGGCGGUGGUGGAGACUUGUAAUGGUAAGGUGGUGGUGGGUACUUCUUAGGAGGUGGUGGAGGAGAAGAAUAAGUGUAAUCUGCUGAGGUUUCAAAAGGCAAAUUGAGAGACACUGCUAAAACUAAAAGAGUGAGAAAGAGAGAGGUCAUUGAUGACCCCAUUUUCCCCAUACUUCUAAAAAUGGGUUUAAUUUGGUUAUGCUCUUAGCAACCCUCUUCACUCCCUUUAUAUAGACUUUUUUUUUAACCUUAUAAUCAUGAUAAAAGUUUGAAGAUGGACCGAACCUUCAGCAGCAUGUAAAAAAGACAUUACGUUUAGGUUAUUAGCAUGGUAUGAUAUAAUAAUUCUCUAUUCUCUUCCUUGUCGUUUCCCAUAAAUUCAAUUUUCUCUAUUAAAUAUUUAUCAAAUUCAUUUCUCACUCCCUAUUAAUUCUUUAAUAAGUUUAUAGAAUAUGAAUAAUUAAUCAUUAAACUCGAUUUAAUAAAUACUUUAAACAAUUAAUAAUUUAUCUUAUUUUAUGCUUUAAUUAAGGCAUCAAAUCAUAAUCCUAUUUUAUAUUUUGAAAAUUUAUCAUUUUUUAAAGAACUUAAUUGAUUAAAAUGUGAUUCUAAUAUUUGGCAGGAAAAAUUAGUUUACUUUCCUUAGAAUGUAAUAUUCUUUUGAGAGUUAUUUUCUUACUAAUAAUAGAAAGUGAUAAUUCGUGAGAAAAUUACUUUCACAUGUAAAUAAAAAUUAUUAGAACAAAAAAUUAACUUUCUUUUAUUUAUGUUUAGGUACUAAUUAACUUAUUGAGAUAAAGAUAGUUGUAGCUUGCUUUUUCAUGUCAUUUUCUUAUCUUUACAACUUCAAACCAUUAUUCUAGAGUAAGUUUUUUUUUUUUUUUCUAAAUAGUAGAUAAAUAUCUAUAUUUUAUUUUGCUAUAAGAAAAUUAUAUUUUUUAGCAUACAAAACUUAAAGACAACUUGUAGAAUCAAGUAAUUCUAUGAAAAGCAAGCCUAUUCACAUAUAAUACCUAUUACUCUAGCAAUAAUAAUAUUGACAUUGUCUAAAUUUUCUAAUAAAAAAAUUAUAUAAUUUGUAUGUGUUAAAAAUGAAAAAUAUGGCGGUUAUUAAAAAAGAUUUCAUACAUCUAAAUGAAACUACUAAUUUAAAAAUUAGUAUUGAGAUAAUUUCAAGUUAAUAUUGAAUAUACUUGAAUUUGUACAUACAAAGUAAUGAGGGUAAAAAUUUUGUAAAUUGUACAUCUUCACAAUCUUGAGUUAAUAUACAAUUUUUUAAUGUAUUAAUAUAAUGUUUUAGAUCAAGAUGUGAAAAAACAUAACUCAAAUAUUUGUUAAUAAUAAAAAAUUAUUAAUAAAUAUUUAAUUCAAAAUUUAUUAAUAAUAAAAAUUAUUGAAAAAUAUUAAAUACGUUAAUAUUAUUUUUAUAUAAUAAUGAUAAUUUUGUACAGUAAUCUUAUAUUCUCAAUAAGUGUUAAAUGUCUCAAGAUUUUAAUUAAUACUUUUCAGUGGUUACCAAACAUUGUGAAAUAACUUCUUGAACAAUGAUAUUCUUAUCAAUCACAUUCCAUUAGAAAUUUAACAUAGGAAAGCACCAAAACAACCGCUUAAAAAUGAAUGUGCAUGAUUAAAAUCGCGAUAAGUCUUGUUUAUCUAAAAUUUAAAUAUUCAUUUUAUUAUUUAAAAUAUAUUAAUUUUCCAAAAACAAUCAUUAAUAUUUAUAUUUCUAAUUUUAAACAUUCUUUUGUUAAUUAAAUGAUAGUGUAAACGGUUAAACUCAAAUCGAAAGCAUUUUAUCUUAUAGUAGAUUAUAUGACUCAUAUUAUGGUUGAAAGUAAAAUGUAUAAAAUCAAUACAAACAUCAAAUAUUAAACUUGCACUCAAUAGAUUUUAAAAUUUCUAAUUUUACCACUAAUCUAUUUUAAGAUUUUUAAAAAAUCGUACUUUAGAUUAUCUAAUUUAAAUUUUAAAAUUAUUAAAAAUAAAAAAAUUCUUAAUAAAAAAAUUUGUUUCAAAUUUUUAACCUUUUAAUAUAAUUGUUUUAACUGGUUAUCUAAACUAAAUAAAAACUUAUUUAGUAUAAAAAAAAGUGGUAAAUGUGAAAGGAGCACAAAUCACAACUACAAUAUGCUACAUUAGUUUUAUAAUUGGAUUAAUUUAAUCACCGGCAGAGGAAAUGUGUUAGUUCUAGCUACCACCAAUUUAUUUUAAUUCCUUUAAAAAUAUUAGAAAAAAUCAAUUUGAUUUUUAAUAAUAGAUCUAAUUACUUAAAGGAACAUCGGUGAUGUCCACAUGGCAUACAAGGUUAAGCAUAUAAAAAAAGAACAAAAAGAUUAAGUAUCUUUGCAAGAUAGCUUUCUGAAAUAAAUAAAACUUAAAUAAAAACAAUUUUAUUAUCAAAAUAAAAAGAAAAAAGAAAAGAAAUACUAGUGUUUUUAAUUAAAAUAGAGUGAUCUGGGUAGAAUCUUUUACUUAAAUACUGACAUUGACUUUAUAAGCUAUUUUUUAUCAAAAGAAGAAAGAGAAAAGCAUCCGAUUGAAGAUGUGAAUUAUUAAAUUAAAAUUAAUCAUACAUGUAAAAUUUUAUUGUGCUUUUUUCUAGCCCUCCGAAUGACAUUAUGCUUUGAUUACAACAUUCUUGCUCAGAGAUCGGGUUUGAAGAUGAACUCGGAUGCAUUUAGAUUUUUACAAGUAAAUUAAAGGAUGUUAGAACUUGUAUUCCGAUAAACUUAUAAUACAGAAAGCAAGUAAUAUGUGACUGUACAUAAUGGCUAUGAGGCGAGGAUAUGAUAUGAGAAGAUAGAGAUGAGAGAUUGCACUUAAGGGGUUAACACCACUUUCCUUUUUGUGUUUGGUCCCCAAAGCAUCUCUUAUUGGCUGAUGUUGCAAGGCCGUCCCAUAAGUUGGUCUAAAAGUGCUUGAUAGCUAGAAUUAAUAUUGUGGUAUAACAUAUGUCACCACUAGGUUUGAAUAAGGUUACACAGUGAUUUGAUGAAGAUUUAAAAAAGCAUAGAGAUAAUUAUGUUGCAAAUAUUGUAAAAGUAAGAGCUAAAUUGUUUGGCUUUAUUAGAGUUUAGACUCUGUUAGUCUAUUACCAUUCUCUAUUAGUCUGUUACCAUUUUGUUAUAUAGGCUGUAAUAUUGUUAGAAAGCAGUUAGCAGCUGUUAGUCAUAGUAGUUAGUCAUACAAAUAUAAAUUCUAUUCAUGUAUUGUUCAAAGGUAAGCUAAUAAUAUCAGAAGCGAUUUAAUGUAUUCAUUCUACUUUUUUUUUAUUCUUCAUAAUACAGUUGUUAACAUGGUAUCAGUACCCUAAUUUCUUAGAGGUCGCUUCUAUUGUAGAUCCAUGGCCAAUUCCACUGAUUCUACCUCCACUGGUCGUAGCAGUCCCUCGUUCUCGAUUCAUGUUUGGUUCAAUCGUUUCCUCGUCGUCACACUGAGAAGUUAGAUGAAAGAAAUGUUAUGCAAUGCCAACAGCAUAUCCUAUUGAUAAUUGAAGGGUAUGAACUCAUAAGAUUUUUAGAAGGGACGUUACCUACUCCGCCUCGCUUUGUGUCAUCUCCCGAUGGAACCUUGGCUUCGGCUCCCGAUGCAUUCCUGUUUGUUCAGCAAGAUAAGUUACUCGCUCUUUGGUUGCUUUCUACGAUUAGUGCUCCUUUGUUGUCCUCUUUUAUAGCUGCUAAGACACCGUGUGAGGUUUGGAGCACUGUGAAUCACCUCUUUACUGUUUCCACCAGAGCGAAGUUAUCGCGUAUUAAGCAUGAACUCCACUCCAUCAAGAAAGGCAUGAUGACUGUCAAAGAGUAUAUUAUUAAGAUUCAAAAUACCUGCACCUUACUCGAGGCAUCUGGAUUGGUGGUUUCGAAGGCCGAGAAGGUAGAGAUCAUUCUUGCUGGCCUAUCGUCAGAUUAUGAUGUCGUUUUAACACUACCAUAGUUCUCUUCUGAAACUCUUCCGUUACAGAAGAUAGUUGUUGUGCUACUGAAGUUCGAAAGCCGUCAGACUCAUGUCGUGAAUGACAUACCUUUUCAUGCUCAUCUGGUAGAGGCCACUUCGGCGACAUCGGUGGAGGACUCCGUACAUGGUAGCCAUCCUCCUCCUGGUGCUCGUGGGCAUGACUUUCGACUCGGCUUCAGUUCCAGAUCUAUGGUUGCUAUGGACAUCUGGCACAACGCUGUUAUUAUCAUUUCAACCGCGAAUACAGUGGUCUAUCUGCUCUGACCAUGGCGCAGGCUUCGCUUUUGUGCUGGGCACUAUUCGUGUGACAAUGUUUUUGGUGCAACUGGUCUCUUGACCGGCUGGUUUCCAUCAGCUCAUCCUAGUUCAAACCCCUUCGAUGUGCCUGGACAGUGUGCCGAUUCUUCGGUGACGGUACCGGCGCAUUUCCCUUAUGGCUCCUCUUGGGGAGGAUGGCCACAUUUGUAAAACAAUGCCUCCCUUGUGCCAAGUCUACCGAAUGUUAGGGUUUCUAACCUUUUUGCUCCUAAUUUUAACAAUGAGGCAAGCUAAGUGUUUGGGCCCGCUGUUGAACCAGGCUCAAAUAGUGACCAAUCUGGUGGUCCUCACUUGCCGCUGAAGAUGGGCUAACGCAUUGGGCCAUUCGCUGGUGUUCCUAGGCCAACUGCUUCAGGCCAAGAUUUUGGCCUAAAUGGAAUUGGUAGGCCAGCCAGUGCUCGUCCUAGCAUUGGAUAGGGUUCACUUGGGUCAAAUGUCAAUUUUAUUGGACUUGAGGGUUCUUUUGGGUAUAGACAAGAGUUUGGGCCCACCACUGGCAAUGUUUCAGUGCCAAUUAAUAGAUCAUGUGUUCCAUGGCACACAAAAUCGAGGGCACGCGUUAUUGAUUUUGAUUCUUCGCUGUGCGUUGGGUUGCAUCGCUUUACUAAUUUUCACGCAUCCGAUUUUUUUACUACCACUGGGUCUAAUGCCAAUACAACUCCAUAUAGGUCUAAUUUUGAUAAUGGUAAUUCUUACAUUCCUAUGCCUAUAGGGACCUCAUCAUGGUGUCUUGAUUUAGGGGCUACGCAUCAUGUCUGUUGAGAAGUCUCUGCCUUGAAUAAGUCUACGCCAUACUCAAGUACAUCUCCUUUCUUCACGGAUGAUGGUAUUCCUACAAAAAUAUCGUAUGUUCGGAAUCUUAUCUUGUCUAUGAAAACCAAAUUGCUUCAUUUGUCUAAUGUUUUGUGUGUGCCAAAUAUACGGAAGAAUUUGCUAUUUGUUUCUCAGUUUGCUAAUGACAAUAACGUGUUCUUUAAAUAUCACCUGUCUUAUUGUGUUAUUAAAGACAUCCAGACUCAUGAAAUUUUACUACGGGGCUACACUCGUGAUGGGCUCUAUUAUUUUUCGUCGGUUACUCUUGCUCUGUUUGUCGUUGUUCCUUUUUUCAUAGCACUGGGAUCUAGAGUCGCAAUGCAUAUGAUGAUUGUUUUGCAUUAUGGCAUCACAGGCAUAGUCAUUUGUCUGCCUCGAUUGUUAAACUUGUUCUCGAUAAGUGUCAAGUUGUUUCAAAAUAAAAUGUGCCUUGAAAAUAUUUGUAUUGCAUGUCAAAACGGGAAGUCUCACAAACUGCCUUUUUCAAGUUCUACUACUGAAUAUACAAAUUUGUUUGAUUUGGUUGUCUCUAACUUAUGGGGACCAACGUCUGUUGUCUGUAGAAAUAAUUUAUAUUAUGUUUUGUUUAUCGAGAUGUGUAGUUGAUAAACCGUAAUUUAUACAUAUUUUUAUCCUAUGUUUGGCACAUUUAUAGAUGAUUUAUCCUUAGAUUUGGUGAAUUCGAUGCUCCUAAUCCUUUAAUUUCAUAUUUUAUACUUAGGAGAGCAUAGGAGGGCAAAAAGAGCGAGAAACGGGCCGAAAACGGAAAAAAUAGACCCACAUGGGAAAUCAACAUGGCCUGGACUUCCUCACACUGGUAAGCCACACGGCCGUGUCCAUUUGGCAGGAUCGAAGCAAGACUUACACGAGUAGACUACACGCCCGUGCCUUUUUAAUAGCCUUGACCACUGUCUGGAGCAAUCGCGCACGGGCAUGUCCCUGUCGAGCCCAAGUAUAGUCUUAUUCGGAAAAGGUCUAUUUUAAGGGCUCUUAGGCAUUCUAAAGCUUAUUUAAUCACCUGAGAAGGCACUUAAAAGGGGGGACACGGAGUAGGAAGCAAGGAAUUACUCGAAGAAAGCCGAUUGAUCCAUCUCAGAAGCCUGAUUAUUCAUCAAGACUGAAAAUCUCCCUUCAAUUACCAUUCAGGAGUUUUGGGUUUUCUUUAUGUUUUGUAUUCAUUAUUCUUCUGAGAUGUUUUCUUUUAUAAUUAUGAUUUAAACCCUCUAAAUACCUAAGGGGAAUGAAACCUAAACGGAUCUUGUUAUUAUUAUCUGAAUUAUAUGAUAAAUAUUUGACUUGUUUUUAAUUAUAUGUUCUUAAUUCUUGUCUUAAUAUUCCAGGAUAUUGAUUCAAGUUAAUGCGCUUAUUCAGAGGAGCAAAAGUCCCUGUCUAAGAGUAAAUUUGUCAUAAUUAAACAGAGUUGAUUGCACACCUAAAGAUAGGGUAACAAGAUUUUGCCGAAUUAGGGUGAAACCUAAUAAGGAGAUCCAUAGAUCGAGUUAAUGCAACACUAGGGCGUUAAAUAGAAAGAGAUUUCAAUUAAUCAACCUAGGGUUAGAUGUUAUUAGUCUUGAGAGAGAUAAUAAUAUAACUUAGGGAUUUGUACGGAUCAUGUCAAAUGGAUAAAUCGACUGAUUCAGAGUCAAAUAACAAGUGAAGUCUAGGUGGAUUUUUCCUUGGGUAUUGUCCUAAUCAAGCGAAUUUUCUAAAAGUAUUUUCCCCAAUUUUUCAAGCGAAUUUUCUAAAAGUAUUUUCCCCAAUUUUCUUUCUCUGCACCCUUAGUUUAGUUAAUUAGUUUUAAUAAACAAAUCCUUUAAUUUUUAGGUUAGAUAAUAAAAAGAAAGUGAUUACUAGUACUCUUGGUUCCUUUGGGUUCGACAAUUCGGUCUUGCUAAAGCUAUAUUACUGUUCGAUAGGUACACUUGUCUUUAUCGUGAUAAUAGUUGGUUUCAAUAACGAUCAUUUCUAAAUUAUUUAAAACUUAUCGCAAGUAUCAUGAAUCAAGUUUUUGGCGCCGUUUCCGGGGAACUAAGAUAUUAGGAACACUUGAUUUUUAUUACUUUAGCCAUUUUUCUUUAUUUUUACUUUAAAUUUUUAUUUUCUUUUCUAAUUUUUCUUUUAUUUGUUCCUGACAGGUUUUUAUAGUUUAUGAUUAGAAGAAACCCGUCGGGACCAUUACUGUUUGAUAGUGAGAUCGAUCGCACAGUUCACAGAAACCAAAGAAAAAUAAGACGAAGCUUAAGAUACAAAAAGGAAGAGUAAGACGACGAUACUUCAACCACAAUCGAGAAGAUGGCUGAAAACCAGGAAAAUUUGCUACCUCCUGUGAUUUCUGCUGAUCCAGUAAAUCAGAAUCCUACUCCACGCACUAAGUAUGAUUAUGCUAAACCUACUUUAACAGGAACUGAGUCAAGUAUAGUUAGGCCUGCUAUUGCUGCGAAUAAUUUUGAACUGAAACCUAACACAAUUGAAAUGAUACAGCAAUUUGUUCAGUUUGAUGGUUUGCAGGAUGAGGAUCCAAACAACCACUUGGAAAAUUUUCUAGAGUUUUGCGAUACAUUUAAAAUCAAUGGCGUUUCUACUGAUGCCAUUCGCCUUCAGUUAUUCCCUUUUUCAUUGAGGAACAAAGCUAAACAGUGGUUGAACUCGUUACCACAAGGGUCAAUCACUGCUUGGGAACAAAUGACCGAAAAAUUUUUAUUAAAAUAUUUUUCGUCGACUAAAACAGCCAAAUUACGUAAUGAUAUCUCUUCAUUUAUGCAAAUGAAUAUAGAAACACUCUAUGAUGCAUGGGAGAGAUACAAGGACCUUUUAAGAAGAUGUCCUCACCAUGGGUUACCACUCUGGCUACAGGUUCAAACGUUUCACAAUGGCCUGAAUCCUUCGACUAGACAGAUGAUUGACGCAGCUGUUGGAGGAACUAUCAAUAAUAAGACACCUGAGGAUGCUUAUGAAUUUAUAGAAGAGAUGUCACUAAAUAAUUAUCAAUAGCAAGUCAUGAGGACAAAACCGAUGAAAGCAACCGGGGUUUUUAAUGUUGAUUCGGUCACCAUACUUUCUAAUCAGGUAGAACUUUUGAAUAGAAAAAUUAACAGUUUUUUUGGUUCUUCACAGGUUCACCCAGUAAUGCAAUGCAAUGCAAGUGGGGGAGAAUUGAGCAAUUCAGAAUGCCCACCCUAUGGCCACAACAUGAAAAACAAGCAAUUAAAUUAUAUGGAUAAUAAUCCUCGACCUCAAAAUAAUCCUUAUAGUAACACUUACAAUACAGGAUGGAGGAACCACCCAAAUUUCUCAUGGGGAGGCCAAGGGAAUCAGAGACCACCACCAUUUCCAGGUUUCUAACAGCAACCUUACCAGCAAAAUAAAAAUUUGAACCUUGAGGAAAUGCUAACAAAAUUCAUCUUGGUGUCAGAAACUCGUUUCCAGAAUACCGAGACAGCACUUAAAAAUCAACAAGCGUCGAUCCAAGGGCUCGAAACUCAGAUAGGCCAGCUCGCUAAAUUGAUAUCUGAAUGAACACAAGGUAGCCUACUGAGUAACACUGAAUCUAACCCAAGGGAGCAACUCAAUGCGAUUGCCAUUCAAGAUGAGGAAGGGUUAGUUACAUCUAAACCAGAACCGAGGCAAGAAACUGUGGUAAGUAAAGGUAAAGGUAAGGUAAACCACAUCGAGCAGAAACCGGUAAGUAAAGAGUACAAACCACGAGUGUCAUACCCAAAUGCGACAAAGAAAGACCAUACAGAUGAACAAUUUUGUAAACUCCUUAAACUAUUAAAGAAAUUACACAUUAACUUACCGUUUAUUGAAGCCCUUUCGUAGAUGCCGAACGCAGUCAAGUUUUUAAAGGAGCUUUUAGGAAACAAGUGAAAGUUGGAUGAAGCGUCGCAUGUGGAGUUGAACGUAGCUUGCUCAGCUAUUCUACAAAAUAAGCUACCCAACAAAUUAAAAGAUCCAGAGAGUUUUACAAUUCCUUGCUUAAUUGGUAGCUUAGAUGUUAAUAAUACUUUGGCUGAUUUAGGGGCUAGCAUCAAUGUCAUGCCUUACAAAAUGUUUAAGUAACUAGGUCUUGAGAAACCCAAACAAACUAAGAUGAGUAUUCAAUUAACCGAUGAAACAAUUAGAUUUCCUAGGGUUAUUAUUGAAGAUGUACUCAUUAAAAUUGACAAAUUUAUAUUCCCAGUUGAUUUCGUUGUUCUAGACAUAGAGGAGGAUAGUAACGUUCCUUUAAUUUUAGGGAGCCCUUUUUAGCAACUGUUAGAACAAUAAUUGAUGUUGGCACAGGUGAACUCACACUUCGUGUGGGAGACGAAACAAUCACCCUUUAAGCUCGUAAUUCAAGUAACACAUCAAAAAUUGAAGGUGGUUGUAUAAAUCAUACUAUUAAAACUGAUCAUUUGGUGAAACCUUCCUGGCAGGAAACACGUUCAAAGAACACACCUGAGCCAUGUUCGAGUAACGACAAAAGACCUAUCUAUGAAGAAUGAAGGCUACAACUUGAGGAACUAGAUGAAUAGCUGACACAUAAACCGAGGACACACGAUAAACCAAAACCAUGCCAUGACGAGCUCAAUAUUUCACCAAAUCAACUUAAGGUUGGAGACAAAGUACUACUAGAUGCGGUAGACCCUCGUAUUGCUACGUCUGAACCUAACGGAGCAAUCCCUCUUACAGUACUCAACAUUUUCCCAUAUGGUACAGUCGAGGUUAUUCAUCCCAAACUCGGCACUUUUAAGGUAAACAGUACUCGUCUUAAACCUUAUUUUGAUAAAAUUGAUAGCAGGGAUGAGGAGUGUGAACUCCUCACAUCACAAUGACCAUGCAACAGAAAGGUAAGUCGAGCUUAGACUAUAAAUAAGCGUUUUUCGGGAGGCAACCCGAGCAUUAAUGAUGUUAACUUUUUUAAAAUUUUAGUUUUUUACAUCUAAUCACUAACUGAGUCAGUGAAACACAGGUUUUCUAAUCUACACGGCCAAGCACACGGACAUGCCUUAGGCCGUGCUCACACCAUGGGAGGAGACACAGCCGUGCGAUACUGCCGUGUGAAAACAGGGUAAAAUUUUUCCUUAACACGGGAUGUGAUAAGUUGCCACGGCCGUGCGAUGUAGCCGUGGGCGAGUCUUUCAAACCAACACAGGCGUGUGACACACCCGUGUCUAUAAACCAUGGUUGAAACUGAGAAUUUAGCACGAGCAUGUCCUAUCAACCGUGCUCAAGACUGAAAAAAGAACACGGGCGUGGACAUCUAUACACGGGCAUUGGAGAAGAGAAUGAAACAGAACAUGGUCGUGUGACACAGACGUGUGCACCAACACGCCCAAAGAGCACGGGCGUGUGAAGAAUUUCAGACACGCCCAAAUUUGAAAAUUACGAUAAACACGAGCUGAAAUAAGGGCACAUGGGGGUGCCCCACGACCGUGUGCCCCAAAAUCUAUAUAAACCCCUUACUAUUCAUCACCCCCUUCCCCAAAAUCUCUAACCCUAGCCGCUGCAACUUCACAUGCCCUACCUGCCACGCCCGUGCACCGUCCACAGCACCACCUUUGACAACCCAAAGCUCCUCCCUCUUACGUUUGUACAUUUUUUUCCUUCUAUUCUCUUCAUUCUUUUACUUAUUUGAUGAUAUUUUAUUUUAUUUUGAGUAAAUAAUCAUAGUUAUAAUGAUAGAAUACUUAUGCUCUUUGUUAAGAAAUUUACCAUUUUAAUUGAUAUAUUUUGCUGCAUUUAUCCACUUUUCUUGUUUCCAUAGAUUUCAUGCUUACCCACACCAUAUUUCAUACUUAUUAAACCCACAUGCAUUCAUUCAAUAGAUAUUUCCAUUAGCAUUACUCUCGUAGUCCUAUUCAUAGUAAUGACUUAAUAUAUCUGAUUGGGUUAUUUUUAGUAUAGUUGUUCUUUAGUACAUGACUUCUAUGAAGUAUCUCUAUUAGUUUUACCAUGCAUAUUUUCUAUGCUAUUGCUGGGGAGUAAUUUUAUUUUUUAUUUUUUCUUGCCAUUGUAGGUAUACUAUCUCAACCUUACGUGGUAAGGAGACCGCCAUCCCCUCUUCGAAGAAAAGGAAAGGAGCAACGUCAUCCUCAGGUCCUACCGCUGAGAUCCGUUACCCUUUCCUCCAGUUUCCCUUUGGACCCCAGGAGGAACUAUUUCAGAUAUUACGGGUCCGACCCUUAGGUGUAGGCCACUGCAUUGACUGGGCUGCACUUAAAAAAAUUCAAAUGGCUGACGUGGUCCAAGCCCUCCUGACGACUACCCGUGGAGGCUUUUCUUUGAGAUCAUCGAGCCGAUGUACCACGAGCUCACAAUGGAACUCUACUCGACCUUCCAUCUUCAAGUCGCCAUGAUAAACUGCGACGAUCCUAGAACGGUCCAAUUCCACCUCAGUGGUCUAGUGCGCCAGUUGAGCGUACCGAAGUUCAGAAUUGCACUAGGGCUGUAUAUGGAAGAGUUCAUGGAUGACAACGAACUUGACACCCUCUAUUGCCACAUCCACUACUCUCUCUCCAAAUGCUGGAAGGACUUUGUCCCUGCCUCGGCCACCUAUGAUCCUAACUACUCUAAGGCAUCAGCCCUCACCCCAUCCCUGUGAUACCUACACGCCAUCUUAGCCCACACUCUGACAGGGCGGCGAGAGAGCACCGGCAUCAUCAACACUCACGACGCCUACUUUUUAUAGAGCAUGGCAAACGGGCACGUCUUCGACCUUGCCUAUUUCAUUGCUCUCGCCAUCCGCCAUCAGACGGAGCGGCAUAGGAGAGGAGUUAUCACCAUUAGCCACUAUGUGACUCGACUGGCACGGCACUUCGGGCUCCUCAACACAGCAGCAUAAUCAUCCUCACUCACUCUCAUUGGUCAUAUGUCCCCUCAAGGCAUCUCGAGUAUGCUACAUAUGAGGAUGCUCGAGAAACGACGUGGAACUUACCCUCCUCAGUACCGCCUCGUCCAGUCCACUAAAGAGGAGAACCCAUAAGACAUUACUGAUGAUGUCCCUCCACGUCAUGAGGACCCACCGUCUCAACCAUCACCCAUCCAUCGUCCAGUUCAUGCGGUGGCUUCAUACUCUGAUAUCUCUAAGCACCUUACUCGAUUUAAGCAGCAGUGUUUUCAGUGCUUUGAUCACAUUGAUGCUACUCUUCAUCAGAUUUGUCAGCACCUUCACAUCUCAUCGCCACCACCACCUCGCGAACCAUCCGGCGAUGCUGAUGUUUAAAGACUUUUUAUUUUUUAUUUUUAUUUCCACUUUUAUCUUUAUUUAUCUUCUUUAAGUAGUUUUUAUUUUAUUUUCCUUUAAUAUUAUUUCAAUUUUAGGUUUUAUAAUUUUUAUUGAAUAAUUUAUAGUUUUGGCUAUUUUAUUACGAGUAAUUAUGCUUCCUUAUAUUUCCUAAAGAGUUCUUGAUUUUAUCACAGUUAUAAAGAGCUCUAAAGCUCAUCAUCACUUAGGAACUAAAAAAUCACUGGAAAAGGUUCUCCACAACUGUCAAGUCCUGCUCGACCACGACCACAGCUACUACCAGAUAUAAUAUUCUGUUGGCGCAGGACUUAUGGACUAAUGAACCUCUACCACCACCGGAGUAUCCUCCUCCACUCUCAUCAUUGCCUUGGCUGAUUAUUCUCCAUAACUCCAAUUGAAGGAGUUCAUUCAUCAUUCAGGAAGUUUAACUUCUCUUCUUAUCUUAUGAGUAUUUAUCUAUAUUUUUCAGUAUAUCUAUCUUUGUACAUUGAGGGCAAUAUACAUCUUAAGUGUAGAGGGUCUUUUAUAUCAUUAUCAGAAAAAUCCCUGAAUUUUAUCUUGUUCUCAAAUCAUCUUCUCAUAUCAUUAUUAGAAUAAAAUUUGAUUAAUUUAUGAUUGUUAUUGAUAUGUCUUCAAUUAAAACAUAGGCAUUCAUGUAUUGAUUGUUUAAACUUUAAGGAAUUAGAUAAUCAAGCAGGAUAAGUUGAUUUUUGAGAAUUAAAAAUUUUUAGGUUGUUUCCCCAAGUUUAGGUAUUAUCUCGAGUUAAAAUUCACAGGGUUAACAUCAACAAGCCAUAAUUUCUGUAAGAUCUUGAGCCUUUAGAGCAACUAUUAUUUCUUUCAUGCUCACUGUUAUUAUUGAUAAUGAGUGUGUCAAUAUUGAUUUAUUAUUCUAGAACUUGCUUGAUUAUGCAUGUCAAGACCACACCCUUGAGUUAAUAUGUCAAUAUGAUAAAGGCACCUAGGUUUAACCCACUCACUCCAUAAAAGCAUACCUUCAUAAUUUACCCUUAGUGAACCCCUUUGAGCCUAACAAGCCAUUAAUUGAUUUACCCUCAAUGUUAACCCAUAACACAUUAUUGUUGAAAUCCCCUAAUUUGAUCCCUAUUUUUGUCGAGAUUUGAUUUGAAUUAUUGCAUAGCUAUGUUUUAUUCUUCGUUGCAAUAAUUAGCAAAGUCCUAUGUUAUUUCACUUGUUUAUUUCACUUGUUCCUAAAAAAAAAUACAAUACUUACUUACAUAUUAAUAGUAAUUCGUCAUUUUUGAGCUUAAGUGUUAAUUCCAUAUUCUAAGAAGAAGCUCACUCGUAUUCAACUUAUAAUUAGUUGUUUUUCUAGUUAGGUGAUUUUUUUAAUUCAAUCUCGAUUCUAACCUUUCCUUUUAGCUUGUGACCACACCCCCUAACCAAAGCCACGUUACAACCCUCUAAAGACCUUUUGAUUGAUGUAUCAUCUCAAUAUAUAGUGGUGGAGAUUUGAUUUUCUGCAAGCCUAUGGUAAUAACUUUUCAUAUUGACUAAUGAGUGCUUCAUUUAUUAUCCUUAAACACCUCGAGUGAUUUGAGUGAAUCUUUAGUGAGGAUGUUAAACUCCGUGAUAUUUUGAAUCAAAGGUAAUCACUUAGAUGAGGGGAGACACCUAUGUUUUCGUGAUGAAAUGCUCAACUUGGAAUGUUUGAAACUUUGAUAUUCUUCUAGUUGAAUUCUCCAUGUAUGAUUACUUAUGAUUUAUUUUAAGAUAUUAUUGAUAGAGAUUAUAGAUUGAGAAGAAUUUAUUUUGAUUGUGAGUUGAGGAUUUUGCUUGAGGACAAGCAAACGCUUAAGUGUGAGAGUUUUUGAUAAACCGCAAUUUAUACAUAUUUUUAUCCCAUGCUUAGCACAUUUAUAUAUGAUUUCUCCUUAGAUUUGGUGAAUUUGAUGCACCAAAUCCUUUAAUUUCAUGUUUUAUACUUAGGUGACCAUAGCAGAGUAAAAAGAGCGAGAAACAGGUCGACAACGGAGAAAAAUAGACCCACAUGGGAAAUCGACACGGCCUGGACUUCCUCACACGGGUAAGCCACACGGCCAUGUCCAUUUGGCAGGAUCGGCGUACAAUUUACACAGGUAGACUACAUGCCCACGAUUAUUUAGCAACCUUCACCACGGUUUGGAGCAAUCGCACACGGGCGUGUCACACAGGCGUGUCCCUGUCGAGCCCAAGUAAAGUCCUAUUCGAAAAAGGCCACUUUUGAUGGCUCUUAGGCAUUCUAAAGCCUAUUUAAACACCUGAGGAGGCAGUUAGAACGGGGGGACACAGAGUAGGAAGCAAUGAAUUACUCGAAAAAAGCCGAUUGAUCCAUCUCAGAAGCUGGAUUAUUCAUCAAGACUGAAGAUCUCUCUUCAAUUUCCAUUCAAGAGUUUUGGGUUUUCUUUAUGUUUUGUAUUCAUUAUUCUUCUAAGGGGAAUGAAACUUAAGACGAAUCUUGUUAUUAUUAUCUAAAUUAUAAGAUAAAUAUUUGACUUGUUCUUAAUUAUGUAUUCUUAAUUCUUGUCUUAAUAUUUCAGGAUAUUGAUUCAGGUUAAUGCGCUUAUUCAGAGGAGCAAAAGUCCCUGUCUAAGAGUAAAUUUGUCAUAAUUAAGUGGAGUUGAUUGCACGCCUAGAGAUAGGGUGACAAGAUUUUACCAGAUUAUGGUGAAACCUAAUAAGGGAUCCAUAGAUCGAGUAAAUGCAACACUAGGGCGUUAAUUACAAAGAGAUUUCAAUUAAUCAACCUAGGGUUAGAUGUUAUUAGUCUCGAGAGAGAUAAUAAUAUAACUUAGGGAUUUCUACGAAUCAAGUUAAAUGAACAAAUCGCCUGAUUCAGAGUCAAAUAACAAGUGAAUCUAGGUGGAUUUUUCCUUGGGUAUUGUCUUUAUUAAUCGAAUUUUCUAAAAAGUAUUUUCCCAAUUUUUAGGCUAGAUAAUAAAAAGAAAGUAAUUACUAGUACUCUUGGUUCCUUUGGGUUCGACAAUUCGGUCUUGUUAAAGCUAUACUACUGUUCGAUAGGUACACUUGCCUUCAUCGUGAUAAUAGUUGGUUUUAAGAACGAUCAUUUAUAAAUUAUUUAAAACUUAUCGCAAAUAUCAUAAAUCAGUAGUCGUUUUACAUGGAUUUAUCUCAUUAAAUGAAUGUCUCAGAUGGUUGACUAUUUUUUUCAGUUUCAAAAAAUGGUCAAAACUCAGUUUGGGAAAGAUAUUAAAAAUUUUCAAAGUGAUUGGGGUGGUGAGUUUCGUGCCUUCGCAUCAACUCUUGCUAUUCAUGGGAUACUUCAUCACCUCUCCCGUCCACAUACAUCCGAGCAGAACGGUAUAGCCAAACCAAAACAUCAAGACAUUGUUGAGAUAGGUCUUACUCUCUUGACCCAAGCUAAUAUGCCCAUGGAUUUCUGGGGUUACGUGUUUUGCAGUGUCGUUUAUCUCAUUAAUCGUCCACCUACCUUGGUUUUGAAAGGUCAAUCUCCGUAUUAAGUUCUUCAUGGUAGUGACCCUACAUAUGAUCAUUUACGGGUGUUUGGGUGUUAUUUCUUUCCAUACUUGCGUCUGUUUCUGCAACAGAACUUGGAUUUUUGUUCUCAGCCUUGCACAUUUUUAGGGUAUAGUUCUCAACAUAAAGGCUAUCACUGCCUCACACCAGAUGGUAAGGCCAUUGUCUCUUAUCAUGUUGUGUUUGAUGAACGUCGAUUUCUCUUUUUUUUUAUGUUGCAAACACCGUCCAGUCAGGUCCAUGUAUCUCUACAUAUGUUCCUAUUGCUCAGUCUUCAUCUGCCGCGCCACGGCAUCCUCGCUUGUUCAGCCCAUUAAGUCCUCUUGACUCUUACUCCUAAUUGUAGUUCCAAGACGUCUAUUUCAGUUGACUCUCCGACUGAAUUGGGUUCUACUCAUGAGGUGCACCGGCUCUUCACCUCAUCUCCUGAAUCACGUCAAUGCGACUCUACUACAAUUCCCUCGGUUAUUCCAUCUAUUUUUCUAGAGAAUACUCAUAACAUGAUUACUCGGUCUAAGGCUAGUAUUUCUAAACCCAAAGCUUUCUCUGUUGAAACUGUCGACUAUGAGCCACACACGAUUGAUGAGGCACUCGCUAGUAAGGAAUGGCAAUUAGUUGUCCAAGCUGAGUUUGUUGCUCUAAUGGCUAACUCUACCUGGGAGCUUGUUCCCUUACUUCAUUGUCGAAAAGUGAUUGGGUGUAAGUGGCUUUUUAAAAUAAAAAAAAUCCUGAUGGGGCUAUCACUUGGCACAAGGCUCAGCUGGUAGCAAUGGGUUGUUCUUAGGUACCUGGGUGUGAUUUCAAAGAAACCUUUAGUCUAAUGGUUACACCUACUACUAUUAGAAAAAUAUUGUCUAUUUCUGUUUCCAAUGGGUGAAAACUUCGUCAAAUCGAUGUGAAUAAUACCUUUUAAGAUGGUGAUCUCACUGACGAAGUGUUUAUGCAACAACCUUCAGGCUAUGUUCAGAUUGGUCCAUAUCGUGAGCUAUUGGUGUGUCGUCUGAAAAAGGAGUUGUAUGGAUUACGACAAGCUCCACGUGCCUGGUUUGAUAAAUUGAAACAUUUUUUCUACCAGAUUUGUGUUAUCCAAAUCUGAUGCAUCCCUGUUUGUUCGAGUUACGUACGUAUCCACUAUUUAUGUUCUAAUCUAUGUGGAUGAUAUUACCGUUACUGAAAGUACGACUGACGGUAUAAAUGACUUUAUUCAACAGUUACAUAAUAAGUUUUCCCUUAAAGAUAUGGGAGAUCUUCACUACUUCUUAGGUAUUCAAGUCACUCGGUCAUCCACUAGAAGUCUUCAUUUGUGCCAACGCAAAUACAUCUAGGAUCUGCUUGACAGGAGUUCCUGGGCUAACGUGAAAAGUGUUCACACACUGAUGGUUAGUUCUUUUACAUUGUCUAAAGAUGAGAAAAAUCACCUCGUUGAUCCCACUAAAUAUAGGAGCCUUGCCGGAGCAUUACAAUAUGUGGUCUUAACUCGGCCUAAUAUUGCUUAUGCGGUAAAUCGUGUUUGUCAAUUCAUGCAUAUGCCUACUACGGUACAUUUGGUGGCUUUGAAAAUAAUCUUGCGCUAUUUACGUGGCACUAUUGAUCAUGGGUUAAUUUUUCGUCCGUUCGACAGAUUGUCUUUAGUUGGCUAUGCUGAUUCCAACUGGGGACUGGAUUUUGAUGAUCGUCAGUCAACCAUAGACUAUUGUGUGUAUUUUGGACAUACAUCCAUCUUUUUGUGUUCUAUGAACCAACAAGUUAUUUUUCACUCCACGGCUGAUGCGAAGUAUCGUAGUCUAGCAGUAGCUACCAGUGAUGUUACUUGGUUAGCCUCUCUGUUAACGAAUUUAAAAAUUUGUUCUGCAAAUCCACUUACUAUUUGGUGUGACAAAUCUAGUGCAAUAGUGGUUGCUGCUAAUCCGGUUUUACACUCCAAAUUUAAACAUGGCGAGCUUGAUCUAUUUUUUGUUCGCGAAAAUGUCACUAAUGGUUCUCUCAUUGUUGGCGAAGUUCCGGCAUGUGAUCAGGUUGCUAGUAUUCUCACAAAACCAUUGUCCAUCUCUACUUUUGCUAGGUUUCAUAGUCUGCCUCAAGUCUUACCUCUUGAGAAGCUGGAUGAAGCCGGGUGAAUAUUAGAGUAUAGACUCUAUUAGUCUGUUACCAUUUUGUUAUACAGGCUAGAAUAUUGUUAGUAACCAGUUAGCAGCAAUUAGUCAUAGCAGUUAGUCAUACAAGUAUAAAUUCUAUUUAUGUAUAGUUCAAAGGUAAGCUAAUAAUACCAGAAGAGAUUUAACGUGUUCAUUCUACUUUCUUUGUUAUUCUUCAUAAUACAGUUGUUAACAGGCUUGAUAUCAUCUCUUAGAGAAAACUAGGAGAGAUAAGAGUAAGAGUAUGAGCAAACUAUGGAUAAGGCUCUACCAUAAUACCUUAGAUGCAGUUAAAGUAAGAGUAAGAGCCAACUUGUUUGGCUUGAUAGCAUCCCCUUAUAGAAAAAGCUCUACCGCAUGGCAUUAGAGCAAUAAAAGUAACACUUAAUUUCUUGGUUGAUAGCAUCUCGUAGGGGAAAAAGGUUUACCAUGUGACAUGAAAGUAAUUAAAGUAAGAUUAAGAGCUAACUUGUUUGUCUUAAUCGCAUUGUUUAAGAGAGAUCCAAAUAAAUUUACUCAAAAUAUGUUAAUCAAAUAAUGCAAAUUACAAUGUUUUGUCAAUUUUUCCUUUAAUUGUAACUGGGUUAAAGUUGGUAGUUGUAACUGGUACUAAUAGAAUAGAUUUGGUAGAAAUGGUUGAAAGCAACAUAAGCAAAGAUGACUUUGAUGUCAUUGUAUUGACCACGUGGGAACUAUAGAAUGUAGAGAAUAGUAUGGUGAUUGGCAUCAGAAUGUUGCUAACUUUGAGGACAGUAGAUAAGGAUGGAUCCAAAGGGGCUGUGGGCGGCCCCCUUGAAAUUUUCAAAUUUUUGAAUUUAUAUAUAAAUUAUCAUGUAUUUUAGAUUUGGUGUCCACAUUGUAUAACAUUCACCCCCUUUGCCAAAUUGUAUUUCAUAUCAUUCGCCCCCUUAAACCAUAAGGUUAUACUUUAUAUUAACAAAGUAUUUUCCAUUUUUUUUAAUUAUAUAAAUUUAAUAAUAACAAUAAUAAUAAAAUAUUAAUGUAUGAUAGGCAUUGAAAGACUAAACUUAUAGGUCCAAUUUGGACUUUAAAGCCAAAUUCUAUAAUUAAUUAAUUGAUUUGGCUCAUACCUAUACAUAUUAGGUUAGCGACUUUCUUGUAUUUUGAUUUGUAUGUCUUCUUAAGGAAUUAUCUUCCUUUGGUAAAGUGUUGACACUACCAAGAGAAAAAGAAAGGAUUUUGAUGACGAGACUAAGAGUAUAGAGCAAAAAUAUACAAAUUAUCUUCCUCUUGGCUCCUUAUGCAAAAAACCUCUCGGUAAAUUUUUUGCAUAAAUUAUGUUCUUUAUUUAUUUGACUUAUUUUUUUUAUUUUUUCCUAAUAUAUUUUGUUUAAUAUAUUAUUAAAAUCAUCAGGUUUUUCGAUUAAAUAAUGGUCAAUAAAAAGAUCGAAUCUAUUUUUUUAAAAAAAAGGUGUCAGAAAGCAAUAGUGAUCAACCAGUUCCUUAACCUUCUGUUAUUCGUGAAGAAAAACCAAAUAUUGGAUAUUCCCAAGCUCCUGAAUGAAAUAUUAGGUCUUAUCAAGCCCAAACUUUUGAAUGCGAUAUGGAGUCUUCCCCAGUUCUUAAACUAGAUUGUUACACUCCUUACCUGAUCCGAUCACCAAAUCCAUGUAGAGAGUACCACAACUUAAACCAUAUGAAUUGAAUAAUAAAUAUUUGAAAUUUAUUAAAGUAUCGAGUUCUUGGUGUAACCCUCAGUAUAAUAAUAUGAAACAAUCAAAUCAAUGAUACGCCAGGAACAAACAUUUUUAGGAAAAACACAUGGCGGAAACCUUACAAAAGUUUAUAAGUUUAUAUGAAAUGUAAGAUGAGUUAAUCCCAUACAAUAGUUUCAAGUGCAUUUUUGGCAGUUAAAACAACACUCUAAAACUAUUUGGUGUAGAUGCCAAUGAGACAAUCAUGUGGAAUAAGAUAUAGUAGCAUAAACACAUACAUCACUUACCAUGUCAUUAUAACAUAUACUAACCACAUAAACAAAUUUCUCGAGCUGCGAACGAACAAGUUUACCCAAACAUCUGGGGUUGGUAGAUAGCUUAUCAGAAAAGCCCUCCAAAUCCUAGAGUUCACCAAAACCUGGAGUUCGCCAAAUAGAGAUUCCCAUAGAAUACGCCAAACACACAACCAAAAAACAAAUACUCUACUAACUUACUUAUUUUUUAUUCUUAGCAUAAACAACUAUGCGCCAAAAAGUAACUUGAUACAUUAUCCAUCAGGCGGGUUGUUACAAUUCUCCCUCACUUAGAAAAUUUUGUCCUCAAAAUUCUUAACGGUGAAUAACUGAGGAUAUUGUUCUUUUAUUGAACUCUCUCUUUCCCAAGUGGAUUCUUUUUUAUUGUGAUUUCUCCAUAAUACAUUAACAAAAGGAAUUCUUUUUCUUCUCAACUUUUUUACCUCCCUUGCUAAUGCGAACAGGUUCUUCUUCAUAGGAUAUGUUUGGCUCCUUUUCUAAUGCUUUGACUUGUACCACAUGAUCUGGUUUGGAUUGAUAUUUUCUUAACACGAACACAUUAAUCACAUUGUGUAUCUUUGAUAACUCUAGUGGCAACACCAAUCUGUAUGCCACUGGACCAACCAGUUCCAAAAUCUCAUAUGGUCCUACGAAAUGCAGACUUAAUUUCCCUUUUUAUUCUAACCUUAUGAUAUUCUUCCAAAGAGAAAACUUCAUAAAUACAUUGUCACCCACUUCGAAAGAGAUUUCUUUCCUUUUUAGAUCAACAUAAGCUUUCUGACGAUCUUAAGUUACUUUCAGAUGAUUUCAAAUAAUAGAGACUUUCUCUUCUGUUUCUUGUACUAAAUCAAAACCAACUAUUUUCCUUUCACUGAGUUCCAUCCAACAGGUGGGAGAUCUACGCUUUCUUCCAUACAAAGCUUCAAAUGGUGAUAUUUCUAGAUUGGCGUGAUGACUAUAAUUAUACACAAACUUUGGCAAAGAAAGAUAUCUUUCUCAAUUCAUUCUGAAAUCUAUAAUACAACUUCUGAGCAUGUCUUCCAAAACUUGAAUUACUCUUUCAAAUUGUUCACCUGAUUAGGGAUGAAAGGCAGUACUGAAUCAUAUCUUGGUUCCUAACGAUUCUUGUUGUUGUCUUCAAAAUCUUGAUGUAAACAUUAGGUCUCGAUCUAAAACUACGGAUGUUGGAAUCCCAUGAAGACAUACAACUUCAGAAACGCAGAGCUUAGCCAACUUUUCCAAUGAGUAAUUUGUGCGGGCAAACAAGAAAUAGACUGACUUAGUAAGUCGAUCUACAAUUGCGCAAACUGAAUUCUUCUUUGAAAGGCUGAAAGGGAGAGCCAAAACAAAAUCCAUGGUGAUGUUAUCCCACUUCCACUUAGGUAUCUCUAAAGGGUACAACUUGCCUAAGGGAACCUGAUGUUCUGUUUUAAUCCGCUGACAUGUCAAAGAAAUGGAGAUGUACUCUGUUAUUUCUUUCUUCAUUCCAGGUCACCAAUACAAACUUCUCAAAUUACGAUACAUUUUAUGUAAUGCUCUCAACCCGACUCGAUAUGUCGAGUUUGGAUCUCGGGUAUUACUAUACACAGUACUUAGUAAAAUAUCAAAAUAGCUGACAAAUACUCUUUACUAAAAACAUUUUCUUAUUAUUUUAACCGAAAGAGUAAAUAUUUAAUAACAAGGGUAAAUAUUAGAAAUAAAAUAAAUUAUUACAUCAGACUUGGUACAACUGAUUAUAGUAUAAAAUUUUGUUAAAGACAGACUCUUGGGGAAUAACCCUAAUCUAUGCCACUUUUCCACUAUAUACAUAAUAACCCACUUCAGCACUAUCUUGGCAUACUCCUAGCAUCGUCACUCCUAACGCAUUCUCUACCCAUACACCUAAAAACAACAACAUUAUAAGCUCAAGAGAACUUAGUGAAUUUUAUCCCAAAAAUACCUUGGCGAGUACUUUAAUUAUUUGACUAACAUCUGUGCGCCAUCUAUCUUUUUAAACCACCUUCUUCUGAAUCAGACGGAUACUAUUACAGAUUCGACUUUCACUUAUACGCCAGCUAUCAUACUCUUAACACACUCACUUAUUCUAGAACAGUUUUUCACAUAUAUUAAUCAUUGACAGAUACAUACAUUUUUGGUGAAUACUUACGCAGAUCUAAAUACCAUCAAACUACUAAUCAAAUCAUACAUUGAUUCGAUACCAUACAAACUCCCAUUGAUAAUGUACUACACAAUUUAUUCAAAUGAAUUUUCCACUACUUUGUUACAGGACCCCAGAAAAUCAUCAUAACAAUAACUCAAUUUCCAUAUGAUUUCAAAAAAGGAUAUAAUACAACCCAAAUAUGGCGAAUUCCAGACAACUCAGAUUCAACAACUGUAUAACAUAGACAAAAUCACAUUGAUAAUUUCUUAUGUCCCAAAUAACUAUGAAUACGUCCAUAUUCAAUACUAACAGAUAAUCAUGACGGAUACCCUUCUUAUACAUAUAUGCAUUUCUUUUCUAAAAAUCUCUUAAGACUUACUCAGUUAUAUCACAGAUCUUAUUCAACCUUUAACUUCAGACGUAUCAUAAACCUAUCAGAUCAAUAUCUGUCACAAAGAAAUUGGCAUUUACCCAGAUUUUACAAUAAAGGCAGAUAAUCAUAUUAUAGUAGACAAACUUAACUGAAAGUGCUACAAAGGCCAAACAAAAUAUGCCAUAAAGGCUUCAUACAAAAUCAUGUGUUUACUAUCUCGACGGAUGAUACAUGAUAUUCGUGACAGGUUUUAAAAAUUUAUAAUUAAUCGUUCUUUAAAUUAACUAUUAUCACGAUGAAGGCAAGUGUACCUCUCGAACAGUAAUAUAGCUUUAGCAAGACCGGAUGGUCGAACCCAAAGGAACCAAGAGUACUAGUAAUUGCUUUCUUUUUAUUAUCUAGCCUAAAAAUUAAGGGAUUUAUUUAUCUAAUUAAUUAACUAAACUAAGGGUGCACAGAAAGAAAAUUGGGGAAAAGCUUUUGGGAAAACUCGAUUGAUUAAGACAAUACCCAAGAAAAAAUCCACCUAGACUUCACUUAUUAUUUGACUCUAAAUCAGACGAUUUAUUCAUUUGACUUGAUCCGUAGAAAUCCCUAAGUUAUAUUAUUAUCUCUCUUGAGACUAAUAACGUCUAACCCUAGGCUGAUAAUUGAAAUCUCUUUCUAAUUAACACUCUAGUGUUGCAUUAACUCGAUCUAUGGACUCCCUUAUUAGGUUUCACCCUAAUCCAGUAAAAUCUUGUCACCCUAUCUCUAGGCGUGCAAUCAACUCCGCUUAAUUAUGAAAAAUUUACUCUUAGAUAAGGACUUUUGCUCCUCUAAAUAAGCACAUUAACUUGAAUCAAUAUCUUGGAAUACUAAAACAAGAAUUAAGAACACAUAAUUAAGAACAAGUCAAAUAUUUAUCAUACAAUUCAGAAAAUAAUAACAAGAUCCGUCUUAGGUUUCAUUCCCCUUAGGUAUUUUGAGGUUUUAGUUCAUAAUUAUGAAAGAAAACAUCUCAAAAGAAUAAUGAUAACAAAACAUAAAGAAAACCCAAAACUCCUGAAGGAAAUUGAAGGGAGAUCCUCAGUCUUGACGAUGAAUCCGGCUUUUGAAAUGGAUCAAUCGGCUUUCCUUGAGUAAUUCAUUGCCUCCUACUCCCUAUGUAUCUUCUAAGUGCCUCCUCAGGUGUUUAAAUAGGCUUUAUAAUGUCUAAAAGCCCUCAAGAGUGGCCUUUUCUGAAUAGGACUGAACUUGGGCUCGAUAGGGACACGCCCGUGUGACACGCUCGUGUGCAAUUGCUUCAGACCGUAGUCAAGGCUACUAAAUAGGCAUGGGCGUGUGGUCUACCCGUGUGAGGAAGUCCAGGCCGUGUUGAUUUCUGAUGUUGGUCCAUUUUCUUCAUUUUCAGCCCGUUUCUCGCUCUUUUUACUCUCUUAUGCUCACCAAAGUAUAAAACAUGAAAUUAAAGGAUUAGGAGCAUCGAAUUCACCAAAUCUAAGGAGAAUUCAUCCAAAAAUAUGCUAAGCAUGAGGUAAAAAUAUGUAUAAAUUAUGGUUUAUUAAAUACCCCCACACUUAAGCGUUUGCUUGUCCUCUAGCAAAAUCCUCAACUCAAAAUCAAAAUAAAUUCUUCUUAACUUGUAACCCCUAUCAAUAAUAUCUCAAAAUAAACCAUAAGUAAUCAUGUAUUGAGAAUUCAACUAGAAAAGCAUUAAAGUCUCAAACAUUCCAAGUCGAGCAUUUUAUCACGAAAACAUAGGUGUUUCCCCUCAUCUAAGUGAUUACCUUUGAUUCAAAAUAUCACAAAGUUUUAACAUCCUCACUAAAGAUUCACUCAAAUCACUCGAGGUGUUUAAGGAUAAUAAAUGAAGCACUCAUUAGUCAAUAUGAAAAGUUAUUACCAAAGGCUUGUAUGAAAGUCAAAUCUCCACCACUAUAAAUUGAGAUGAUACAUCAAUCAAAAGGUCUUUAGAGGGUUGUAAAGUGGCUUUUGUUAGGGGGUGUAGUCACAAGCUGAAAGAAAGGUUAGAAUCAAGAUUGAAUUGAAAAAUUACCUAACUAGAAAAAUAACUAGUCAUUACUUGAAUACAUGUAAACUUCUUCUCAAAAUAUGAAAUUGAACACUUAAGCUCGAAAACAACGAAUUACUACUAAUAUAUGUAUGUAUUAUAAUUUUUUUUAAGAACAAGUCAAAUAAUAUAGGUUAAUUAUCAAAAAUAAAACAUAGCUAAGUAAUUUAUUCAAAUUAAAUCUCGACAAAAAUUGGGAUCAACUUGAUUGAGGGGAUUUCAACAGUAAUAGGUUAUAGGUUAAUAUUGAGGGUAAAUCAAUGGAUAGUUUGUUAGGCUCAAAGGGGUUCACUAAGGACAAAUUAUGAAGGUAGGCUUUUGUGGAGUGAGUGGGUUAAACCUAAGUGCCUUUAUCAUCUCGACAUAUUAAAUCAAAUGGUGUGGUCUUGACAUGCAUAAUCAAGCAAGUUCUAGAAUAACAAAUCAAUACUGACGCACUCAUAAUAAAAGUGAGCAUGAAAGAAAUAAAAUAUGAUCUAAAAGCUUAAAAUCUCACAAAAAAUUAUGGCUUUUUGAUGUUGAACCUGUGAAUUUCAACUCAAGAUAAUACCUAAACUUGGGGAAACAACCUAAAAAUUUUAAAUACUCAAAAAUCAACUUAUCAUGUCUGAUUUUCUAAUUCCUUCAAAGUUUAAACGGUCAAUGCAUAAAUACCUAUGUUUUAAUUCAAGACAUAUCAAUAAAAAUCAUAAAUUAAUCAAAAUUCAUUCUAAUAAUGAUAUGAGAAGAUUAUUUGAGAACAAGACAAAAUUUAAGGAUUUUUUUGAUAAUGAUAUAAAGGCCCCCCACACUUAAGAUGUACAUUGCCCUCAAUGUACAAAGUUAGAUUUACAACGAUAUAGAUAUAAGAUCAUAAGAUAGGGAGAGAAGUGAAACUUCCUGAAUAAUGAAUGAACUCCUUGAAUUGGAGUUAUGGAGAAUAAUCGGCAAAGGCAAUGAUAAGAUUGGAGGAGGAUACUUCGGUGGUGGUAGAGGUUGGGUUCCACAACCUCAGUGUCCAGCGAAGAAGUUAUCGUGGUGGUCGAGCAAGACAUUACAGUUAUGGAGAACCUUUUCCAGUGGAGUUUCAAGUUUCUAAGUGAUGGUGAGCUUUGGGGCUCUUAGUAACUGUGAUAAAAUCAAGAACUCUUUAAGAAAUGUAAGGAAGCAUAAUUACACGUAAUGAAAUAGCUGAAACUAUAAAUUAUUCAAUAAAAAUUAUAAAACCUAAAAAUGAAAUAAUAUUAAAGGAAAAUAAAAUAAAAAGUACUUAAAAAUGUAAAUAAAAAUAAAAUAUAAAAAGUUUUUAAACAUCGUCAUCGCUGGAUGGUUCGCAAGGUGGUGGUGGUGAUGAGAUGUGAAGGUGCUGACAAAUCUGAUGUAGAGUAGCAUCAAUGUUAUCAAAGCGCUGAAAACACUAUUGCUCAAAUCAAUAAGGCACUCAGAGAUGUCAGAGUAUGAAAUCGCCGCAUGAACUGGACGAUAGAUGGGUUGUGGCUGAAAUGGUGGGUCCUCAUGACGUGGAGGGACAUCAUUAGUAAUUCCUCCGGGUCCUCCUCCUCGGCUGACUGGAUGAGGCGGUACUGAGCAGAAUCGAUUCCAUGUCAUUUCUCGAUCAUCCUCAUAUGUAGCAUGCUUGAAAUACCCUGUGGGGACAUCUGGCCGAUGAGAGUGAGCGAGAAUGAUUGUGCCACUGUGUUAAAGAGUCCAAAGUGCCGAAUCAAUCGAGUCACAUAGGGGCCAAUAGAGAUGACUCCCUUCCUAUGCCGUUCCGUCUGAUGGCGAAUGGCGAAGGCAAUGAAAUAGGCGAGGUCGAAGAUGUGCCCAUUCGCCAUGCUCCAUAAAAAGUAGGCAUCGUGAGUGUUGACAAUGCCGGUGCUCUCUUGUCUUCCUGUCAGAGUGUGGGCCAAGAGGGCGUGUAGGUACCUCAAGGAUGGAGGGAGAGUUGAUGUUUUGGAACGGUUAGGGUCGUAGGUGGCCGAGGGAGGGACGAGGGCCUCCAGCACUUCGAGUGAGAGUAAUGGAUGUGGCGAUGAAGGAUGUCGAGUUCGUUGUAGUCCAUGAACUCCUCCGUAUACAGCCCUAGUACAAUUUUGAACUCCGGUACGCUCAAUUGGCACACUAAACCACCAAGACGAAACUGGACCGUUGUAGGAUCGUCGAACUCUGUCAUAACGGUUUGGAAGUGAAAGGUCGAAUAGAGUUCCAGUGUGAGCUUAAGGUAUAUCGGCUUGAUGAUCCCAAAGAAGAGCUCCCAUGGAUCAGUCGACAGAAGGGCUCUGACCGCGUCAACCAGUUGGACUUGUUCAAGUGCGGCCCAUUCAAUGCAGCGGCCCACACCUAAGGGUCAGGCCCGAAGUAUCUAAAAGAGUUCUUCCUAAGGUCCUAAGGGAAACUAAAUAAAGGGGUGCCUGAUCUCCACGGUAGGACCCAAGGAUGACACUGCUCAUUUCCUUUUCUUUGAAGCGGGGACAGCGAUUUUCUUACCAUGGUUUGACAUGAUAUCUGCAAUGGCAAGACGAAAAAAAUAAUAAAUAAAAAAGUAAACUUACUCUCCAACAAUAACAUGAAAAAACAUAUGCAAUGCAUGUUAAAACUAAUAGAGAUACUUUAUAGGAGUCAUGUACUAAAGAACAACUACGCUGAAAAAUAACCCAAUCAGAUAUAUUAAGUCAUUACUACGAAUAGGAAUAUGAUAAUAAUGCCUAGUGAAUGAAUGCAUAUGGAAAUGAUGAUAUGGAAAAUAGAAUGAAGUCCAUGGCAACACAAGAAUGGUGGUAUCAUAAUGCAUCAACUAAGAUAGCAAGAAACAAAGAGCAUAAGCAAGGCUAUUAUUAGAACUAUGAAGAUUAACAGUCAAAAUAAAACAAGAAAAAUCGAAUUCAUAAACGAAAUGAAGAGAAAAGAAUGGACAAACGCAAAAGCUUGGUAGAGGGAGGAGCUUGGGCCGUCGUUAGUGGUGUUGUGGUUGGCGCACGGGCGUGGCAGGAAGGCGUGGGCAAGAGUUACGGCGGCUACAGUUAGGGAUUUUGGGGAAGGGGAUGAUGAAUAUAAGGGGUUUAUUCAACUCGUGUUUAUCGCGAUUUUUAAAUUUGGGCACGUCUGAAAUUCGUCCCACGCCGAUGUCCUUUGGGCGUGUUGGUGCACAUGGCCGUGUCGUACGGUCGUGUCCUACUUCGUUCACUUCUCCCACGCUCGUGUGUAUAAGCACACGCCCGUGUUGUUUGAUCAGUCUUGAGCACGGUUGGUGGGCACGGGCGUGUCGCACACUUGUGCUAAAUUCUCAGUUUCAACCACGAUUUCAAGACACGGGCGUGUCACACGCCCGUGUUGAUUUGAAAGACUCACCCACGGCCACGUUACACAGCCGUGGCAACUUAUCACAUCUCGUGUUAAGCAAAAAUUUUUCCCUGUUUCCACACGGUCGUGUCGCAAGGCCGUGUCUCCUCCCGUAGUGUGAGCACGGCCUAAGGCACACCUGUGUGCCUCACCGUGUGAAUUAGAAAACCAGUAUUUCAAUGACUCAGUUAGUGAUUAGAUGUUAAAAACUAAAAUUUUAAAGAAGGUAACACUAUUAGUGCUCGGGUUACCUCGCGAAAAGCAUUUAUUUAUAGUCUAAGCUCGACUUACCUCUCUGUUGCAUAGUCAUGGUAGUGCAAGGAGUUUACACUCCUCAUCCCUGCUAUCAAUUUUAUCAAAAUAAGGUUUUAGACAAGUACUAUUUACCUUAAACGUACCGAAUUUGGGAUGAAUUACCUCGACUGUGCCGUAUGGGAAAAUACUAAGUACCGUAAGAGGGAUUUCUCCAUUAGGUUCAAAGGUGGCAAUCCGAAGGUCUGCUGCAUCUAAUAGUACUUUGUUUCCAACCUUAAGUUGAGUUGGAGAAAUAUUGAGCUCGUCAUGGCAUGGUUUUUUUUAUCGUGUGAUUUCGAUUUCUGUGUCUGCCAUUCAUCUAGUUCCUCAACCUGUAGCCUUGUUCUUCAUAGAUGGGUUCUUUGUCGUUAUUUGAAUGUGGCUCAAGUGUGUUUCUCGAAUGUGUUUCCUGCACAGAGGGUUUCACCACAUGAUCAGUACUGAUAGAAUUUCGAGCUUGAGGAGUAAUUGAUUCAUCACCCAUACGAAGUGUGAGUUUACUUGUGCCAACAUCAAUUAUAGUUUUAGCAGUUGCUAGAAAGGACCGUCUUAAAAUUAAAGGUGCGUCGCUAUCCUCUUCUAUGUCUAGAACAACAAAAUCAAUUGGGAAAAUAAAUUUAUCGAUUUUUACCAAUACAUCUUCAAUGAUACCCCUGGGAAAUCUAAUAGUUUUAUCAGCUAACUGAAUACUCAUCCUAGUUUGUUUAGGUUUCCCAAUACCUAGUUGUUUAAACAUUUUAUAAGGCAUGAAAUUGAUACUAGCCCCUAAAUCAGCCAAAGCGUUAUUAACAUCUAAGCUACCAAUUAAAUAAGGAAUCGUAAAACUCCUUGGAUCUUUCAAUUUGUUGGCCAUGAUGUCUCGUUGAGAGCACCAAAAAUAUCCUAUUCUCUGUAAAAUAGUAAAAAUAACAGUAAAAGGGAAGUAGGGUCGAAUCCUCAGGGACCGGAUUGUACAAAUGCUCGUUUCUUGAAAUCCUGGACAAUUUCUUGGCCAAGAAAACCUGCGUUCCUGAAAAAUAAAAAAAAUAAAAUUAAGAAUCUGGAAAAAAAAAUAGAAUUUAAAGGGAAUUGAAAUUGCGAAAUUAAAUAAAUUGUCGAAAUUAAAAUGAGGAAAAAUAAAUAGAGUUGGGAAAAGAGAAAGUUUCUUAUGUGGCGAGAUUCCAGGCUCCGGUUGUCUCGUUCCGCCUUGGGUUCAAUCCUUGGCCUUUAAGUAACCCUUCCCAACUCAAGUAAGCCAGUUAUAGUGGAAGAGGAUGCCUACGACCACCAGCUCCAAAGAUUAGACUUACGAUUUUUAGGGAACCUGACUCUAACCAGUAAUCUAUGCUAGAUCAACGCUUCUCAAUGGCGAAUCCCAAGUCAUUUUGUCUCUUUGGCUCGCCAACCUUUGACGCAGUAAAUUAACAAACCGACUGUGCAAUCCUUUCAAAACAUACAAAGCGGUCGCCUUUGCAUAUGCUGAAAAGCUUACUUCUUAAGGGCCAUGGACGGAAGCGUCAGCCCGUAGUGCGGAGAAACGAUGAAUACUUGGCGAGAAGGCUAAGUACGGGUUCUAGGCCUCAAAAACCCUUUUUUGGGGAAUAUUGACAACCUUCAGCUAGAUAGGUUUUAAUGGCUCAUGAUAAUGGUGGAAAAGGAAAUAAAUAUAAAAAUAGAAAAUAAAAUUUUAUUCAAAGAAAAUAUGAAGAAACAAAAGCCUAGACUUUUAGGGGGAGAGUGUUUAUAGAAAAAGAUGAACACCCCAAAUAGAGUCACUUCACCCCCUAUUUAUAGUGCUAGGGAGAUAAUCUAAUUUAACUUAAAUUCUAAAAAGAUAAAUACAUUUAAUUAAAGAUAAUUAAAAUAAAAUCCUAAAAUUAAAUAAUCCUAAUAAUUAUCUUAAUAAUAAUUAUUCUAAUAUAAAUAAAAUGGAGUCUUAUAAAAUAAAAUCUCUUCUUUUUGAGUUUUCAGUCCUUGUGUCAUCCAUGCUCGCACUUUUGGAACAAUCUUUUUCCUGUGUCGCAUAUCAGCCCAUUGUGUCUCCAAAUUCGCACUUUUGUCCCUUAAUUUUUCUUUUUGCCUCCAAAUCAGUCCUUUAAAGAUAAAAAGACAUAAAUAGCUAAAAUUAGUAUGAUCAAGCUCAGAAUAAAUAUAUAAUUAGCACAUAAAAACAUGACAUUCUAGAGUGUUAUCAGGCCAGCUUAUUUUGCAGAAUGGCUGAGCAAACUGCAUUCAUCUCCACAUGCGAUGCCUCAUCUAACUUCCGUUUAUUCGCUAAAAGCUCCUUUAAAAAUUUGACUGUGUUCAGCAUCUACGAAAAAGCUUCAAUAAACGGUAAGUUAAUAUGUAAUUUCUUUAAAAUUUUAAGGAAUUUACCGAAUUGUUCGUCUGAGUGGUCUUUCCUUGUCGUAUUUGGGUAUAGUACACGUGGUUUGUACUCUUUACUUACCUGUUUUUGCUCAUUAUGGUCCACCUUACCUCUACCUUUACUUACCACAAUUUCUUGCCUUAGUUCUGGUUGAGGUGCAACUAACCCUUCCUCAUCUUGAAUGGUAAUCGCAUUGAGCUAUUCCCUUGGAUUAGAUUUAGUGUUACUCAACAGGCUACCUUGUGGUCGUUCAGAUACCAAUUUAGCAAGCUGGCUUAUCUGAGUUUUGAGCCCUUGAAUCGACACUUGUUGAUUCUUAAGUGCUUUCUUGGUAUUCUAAAAACAAGUUUCUAACACUGAGAUGAAUUUUGUUAGCAUCUCCUCAAGGUUCAGCUUUUUCUCUUGUUGGUAAGGUGGUUGUUGGAAGCCUGGAGGUGGUGGGGGUCUCUGAUUUCCUUGGCCUCCCCAUGAAAAAUUUGGAUGGUUCCUCCAACCUGCAUUUUAAGUGUUACUAUAAGGAUUAUUUUAAGAUCGAGGAUUAUUACCCAUGUAAUUCAACUGCUCAUUUUCCAUACUGUGGCCAUAAGGUGGGUAUUCUGAAUUGCUUGAUCCACCUCUACUUGCUUCGCACUGCAUUACUAGGUGAACCUGUGAAUAACCAAAUAACCCGUCAAUUUUCUUAUUUAAUAGUUCUACCUGACUAGAGAGCAUCAUGACUAAAUCAACGUUAAAAACGUCAGUUGUUUUAGUCGGCUUUGUCCUCAUUACUUGCCACUGAUAAUUAUUCAGUGAGAUCUCUUCUAUAAAUUCAUAAGCAUCUUCAGAUGUCCUAUUAUUGAUAGUCCCACCAGCGGAUGCAUCGAUAAGUUGCCUUGUUGAGGGGUUUACACCGUUGUAAAACGUCUGAACUUGCUGCCAUAGAGGCAACCCAUGAUGAGGGCACCUUCUCAACAGAUCUUUGUAUCUCUCCCAUGCAUCAUAAAGCGUUUUUAGAUUCAUCUGCAUAAAAGAAGAGAUAUCACUACGUAAUUUAGUCAUUUUAGCCGACGGAAAAUAUUUUAAUAAGAAUUUUUUAUUGUCAUUUGUUCCCAAGUAGUGAUUGACACUCGUGGUAACGAGUUCAACCACUGUUUAGAUUUGUUCCUCAAUGAAAAGGGAAAUAACCGAAGACGAAUGGAAUCAUCAGAAAUGCCAUUAAUUUUAAAUGUGUCGCAAAACUCUAGAAAAUUUGCCAAGUGAUUGUUCCUCAUCCUGCAAACUAUCAAACUAAACAAAUUGUUGUAUCAUUUGAAUUGUGUUAGGUUUUAGUUCAAAAUUAUUUGCAGCAACAGCUGGCCUAACUAUACUUGACUCAGUUCCUCUUAAAGUAGGUUUAGCAUAAUCAUACAUAGUACGCGGAGUAGGAUUCUGAUUAGCAGCAAUCGCAAGAGGUAGCGGAUUUUCCUGAUUUUCAGUCAUCUCCUCAGUUGUGGUGGAAAUAUCGUCCUCUUGCUCUUUCUCUGUGUAUCUUAGGCUUUGCCUUAUUUCUCUUCGAUUUCUGUGAGCUGUGCGAUCGAUCUCACUAUCAAAAAGUAAUGGUCCUGACGGGUUUCUUCUAGUCAUGCACUAUAAAAACUUGCCAUAAGCGAAUAAACGAAAAAUAAGAAUAAGAAAAUAAAAUAAAAAUUCAAAUUGCAACAAAAGUAAAAUGGCUAAAGUAAUAAAAAUUGAGUGUUCCUAAUAUCUUCGUUCCCCGGCAACAGCGCCAAAAACUUGAUACGUGAUAUUCGCGACAGGUUUUAAAAAUUUAUAAUUAAUCAUUCUUGAAACUAACUAUUAUCACGAUGAAGCCAAAUGUACCUAUCGAACAGCAAUAUAGCUUUAGCAAGACCGGAUUGUCAAACCUAAAGGAACCAAGAGUAUUAGUAAUUGCUUUCUUUUUAUUAUCUAGCCUAAAAAUUAAGGGAUUUGUUUAUCUAACUAAUUAACUAAACUAAGGGUGCACAGAAAGAAAAUUGGGGAAAAGCUUUUGGGAAAACUCAAUUGAUUAAGACAAUACCCAAGGAAAAAUCCACCUAGACUUCACUUGUUAUUUGACUCUGAAUCAGACGAUUUAUUCAUUUGACUUGAUCCGUAGAAAUCCCUAAGUUAUAUUAUUAUCUCUCUCGAGACUGAUAACGUCUAACCCUAGGUUGAUUAAUUGAAAUCUCUUUCUAAUUAACACCCUAGUGUUGCAUUAACUCGAUCUAUGGACUCCCUUAUUAGGUUUCACCCUAAUCCGGCAAAAUCUUGUCACCCUAUCUCUAAGCGUGCAAUCAACUCCGCUUAAUUAUGAAAAAUUUACUCUUAGACAGGGACUUUUGCUCCUCUGAAUAAGGGCAUUAACUUGAAUCAAUAUCUUGGAAGAUUAAACCAAGAAUUAAGAACACAUAAUUAAGAAUAAGUCAAAUAUUUAUCAUACAAUUCAGAUAAUAAUAACAAGAUCCGUCUUAGGUUUCAUUCCCCUUAGGUAUUUAGGGGUUUUAGUUCAUAAUUAUGAAAGAAAACAUCUCAAAAGAAAAAUGAUAACAAAAUAUAAAGAAAACCCAAAACUCCUGAAGGAAAUUGAAGGAGAUCCUCAGUCUUGACGAAUAAUCCAGAUUUUGAGAUGGAUCAAUUGGCUUUGCUUGAGUAAUUCAUUGCCUCCUACUCCCUGUGUGUCUUCUAAGUGCCUCCCCAGGUGUUUAAAUAGGCUUUAGAAUGCCUAAAAGCCCUCAAGAGUGGCCUUUUUCGAAUAAUACUGAACUUGGGCUCGACAGGGACACGCUUGUGUGACACGCCCGUGUGCGAUUGCUUCAGACCAUGGUCAAGGCUGUUAAAUAGGCACGGGCGUAUGGUCUAUCUGUGUGAGGAAGUCCAGGCCUUGUUAAUUUCCCAUGUUGGUCUAUUUUCUUCGUUUUCGGCCCAUUUCUUAUGCUCACCUAAGUAUAAAACAUGAAAUUAAAGGAUUAGGAGUAUCGAAUUCACCAAAUCUAAUGAUAAUUCAUCCAAAAAUAUGCUAAGCAUGAGGUAAGAAUAUGUAUAAAUUAUGGUUUAUCAAUGGACUAUCACAGAAGGUGUCAUAGGUUUCUCCAACAUGGGCUUAUACAUAAUUUCAUGUAUUGUGAUCUGCCAUUUCAAAUUAUACAUUAUCGAAGGCUACACCAUAAGCAUAUAUACAGACAUAUCUUGCAAUGGGUCUUAGCCAUAUAGCUUACACACACAUUCAUGUAUUGUAAUCUGCCAAUCCAAUCUUCAUCUUAUUAGAGGCUACACCAUGAGUGUUUCCAAAUCAAAGUAAGAUGUCAUGGGUCUCAACCUUAUAGUUUAUUCUUGUUUUCGUAUCGUGAUCUGCCAGUCUAGUUAGCAAUAUAACUGCCCUACCAGAGGCAUCAUAGAGGAAAAUUUGCUCAGCAUUUACUUCCCUAGAUGAUCACCUUUUUACUAGCUCAUACAUCUCCUACAUCAGACCUUACCUGCAUGCUUACCAAACAUUAUUCUUUUUAAUAGAAUUUAUACAUAUCAUCGUAGCACAUCUUUCAUCUUUGCUAAACUCAUAUUUAUACUAAUUUCUGUAGACAUCAUCAUCACAUAUAUAUAUGCUUCUUGUUUGAACAGUUCAUAUCAAAAAGUCAGGAUAGAGACCCACUUAACUCUCAUCUAUUGCAGUUCAAAGUUCUGGACUCAACCACCCUUCUCAAACCAACAGUAAAAACUGCUUACAAAACAUAGAAUCACCAUUAAAACUCAUUUACAUACAAAUUACCAUCAUCUUAAUCACUUUUCCGCUGCUAAUUAAUAAAUAAAUGUUGAGUAGUAAAUAAAUAAAAAAUUAACUAAGUUUUCAAAAAAAAAAAGUCACUGUGAUGAGAAGAAUAAGUUUUCAAAAACAAAAGUCACCGUGAUGAGAAGAAUGUCAAAAUUAAUUGGUUUUUGUUAACUCAUAUGUUUUUCUAAAAAUAGGUUAAGUUUUCUUCUGAAAUAAACAAAUAUUUUGAAAUGAUUGUUUUAUAAACUCCAAUCAUAGGCCAUCUUAGUGGUCGAUGUAAUCUCCCAAAUUCGGUUCUAACAUCUAGGUUGGGUUGGAGAGGUUACAAUAUAUAUAGAAGGAUUCAUCAAUAAUGGAAACUUGAAUACAAGCAAAGAAAGAAAUCAAUCAAUGUGAAUUACUAACAAGUUCAAAAGCAUAUAUUUGGAUUAUAUUUUGUAAAGUACAAGAAUGUCAAGGAAUUAGACAUUUUGUUUUGAUAGUGAUUAUAUUUUAUAUAUAUUUACUUUUAUGCACUUUCAUAUUGAGUUGAUCAACAGUUUUGAAACUUUAUAGAAAACUUCAAGGUAUCACUUGUUGCGUAAGUGAUAUUUUACUAAGGGUGCAUAAUUGGAGGCCUCCUAGAUAUGUGAAAAUAAUGUUUAAAAAUCCAUCAAAUAGUAAAAACAUAAAUGAAAUAGCAUAUUGAUAUAUAUGGUAUCUUGAGUGUUGAAUUAAACAUUCUUUAGUAAAAGAAUGUACAUUUUGCACAUUGUGGGUGUGUUGGUUUCUUAUAUAUCAAUUAAGCACAAAUUAAAGAAAAAUAAUAUAUAUCACCAUAGUGUUGUAAUAUUUUGUAAAAUUUGUAAAAUUAUAUAAGCAAAAAAGUUUACCUAUCUCGUUAAAUAAAACUCAUUGAGUUGGUUCUUAAUAUUGAAGAAUUAGAGUGGUUGACUUCUUUAUUCAUUUUAUCCAACUACAAGUUGGAUUAAAGUUGUGGAAAUAGAAUGGUUGAAAAUUUGUGUUAAUGAGAAUUAAAGUUGUGGCCACAACUGAUGCCGACUAUUUUCUAGAAACAGGGACUGAUGUCCAAAACAUGUAGUAAAAUAAAAUUUUAGACAUGUUAGCAUAUGAAUUUAUUAUAUUAUAGAUUCAAUGUAACACCCCUAUCCUAUCUCUGUUGCUGGAUUAGGAUUUCAGACUAUUACUAAGAAAAAUAGAACAUUUAACUUUCCAACAGAAACAAUUAUACAAUUAAAUACCAACAUAUAUCAAUUAAAUCUAAUCAUGGCAAAUAUUACACUUAUAGACCUUGAAUCGAGCCUAUGGAGCCCUAGAAAAAAUUUAGGAACAAUUUGGGAUCAAAUCGAAACAAAUCAAAACAUUUUGAAAAAAAUAUAAAAAUUUGGGAAAACAGGGGUCACACGGUUGUAUGGCCAAGUCGUGUGACAAAGCCUACACCGCGUAAACAUUAGAAGUCAAAACACUCAACUGUGUCCCAGCCUGUGUGUCUACUCAUGUGUAUAAUCGAAAUAGGGUCACACAGCUGUGCUGCAGACUGUAAACCGUGUGUGUAUUCGAAGUUAGGUCACACGACCAUGUGACCGACCGUGCCACAAACUGUUUUGAGACACACGGUCGUGUCACAGACCAUGUGAAAUAUGCACCUAAAAUAAUAAAUAUACACGACCAUGUGUGGUGACUAUGUGUGGCACAUGGUCGUGUGGUAGCUUGUGUCUCAGGCUGUGUGCUCCAUUUUUAACCCCUAAAUUAAGUUAAUCAAGCAUCAUUUCUUGCACAGCAAGACAUACCAUAUCUAACUAAUUUUACAUGGUAAAAAUCACAUUCAGAUCACCAAAUACAUACCAAAAUUUCAUUCAUCCUAUGUCUAACCAAUAUACCAUCAAAAGGCAUCUCAAUCCAUACAUUCAUUCAACUCAAGAACAAAGUUACAAUAAAGGAACAAGUUUUAUCAUUAGUUAACCAUUCAUGCCUAAAACCACCAAUCUAAUUGACGAAAAUAUGGGCAUACUCAACAAGCAACCAUUUCAAAACAUCAUCACCAAAUCUUUAUAUACCAUUUAGGAUCAACUUAAUUAUAUCCAACACAAGUACACAUCCAAAACAAAGCACAUCACUAGAAAUACCAAAAUAACUUAACGAUUUACACAUCAACAAUAAGACACCACAUCCCAAAAUGAAAUACAAAAGCUACCGAGAUGGCUGGAUAGUGUGUGCUCCAAAACAAUUCGUCUAGUCAGUCCAUAAAACGCCAACUCAACCAAUAUAGAUAAACAAAAAAGAUAAGUUCUAAUUCUUGAUAUUCAAAUGCAAGAUCACACCACAUUAGUAUAUAUUUAUUUACAUCAUAAAUGAUACCUUCCAAAAGUCAUAACCAAUUCAUCAUCCAAAAUUUCUCAAUACAACCAUUAACAUUUAUAAAACAAAAACUUCAUAGAAACAUUUAUCAUUUAGUAGUAAUAUAACUAUCCAACAAAAUUGAACAAAUAAAUGAGUUUUAAGUCAUUUGAUGCAUAUCCCGCUGAACUAUAGUAACUAGACUCGGAUACUCAAUGAUGCAUAACAGAGGCACCAAAGUGCAAACAGAGGAAGGAAUAUGCAAUCAAAGGCAUUGAAGUGCAAACAAAUGCACCAAAGUGCAAACCCGUACAAGCGCACAUUAAAACCCUAUUGGCAUACUAAUCGUAUCCUAAUCAUUUACUAUGUUCAAUGGGGCAUUAAGAAUGGGGCAUUAUACUUAAAAUCGCAAUACCAAUAAAUCCAUCAUUUAGAGGCACUUCUUAUUUCCGUACACAUAAUAACAAUAAUUACCAUCAUCAAACAUUCAUUUUAUAUUUGUACUUAAUUACAAAUUUUAAUAAUAUAUAAGUAACUAAUGAAAUUUCCCAUAUAUACCAUUAACUAGAAAAAAAUAAUAUAAUCAUAAAGAGAUACACAUAUACAUAUUAUUACAUUAUGAACUUACCUGCAAUCCACUUCCAAAUAAUAUACAGGGACUACUCCGCAAUUUUUCUCUUUCCUCGAUUAUUGUCUUUUUGACUCGGUUCUUGAUCUAUAUAAUAAUUAAAUUUAAUUUAUUAAAUUUACAUAAUUUAAAAAUCAAUUCAAUGCAUGACACCCUUAUGUUUUCAUUAUUUUCACAUUUUCCUUAAACUUUUACAUUUCUCACAAUUUAGUCCCUAAACCCGAAAUUCCAAAAUUUAACAAAAUUUUACAAUUUUCCAUGCUAGCCGAACUUCUUUCUAAACUAGUACAAUCCCCAAUUAUUUACAAUUCACAAAAUUUCUAUGCAAAUUUUAAUUAUUUACACAUUGAUCAUUAAACUCAAAAUUAACACAAAUUCUUUUACAAAAAUAUCCUAAUCAACAUUCAAAUAUAUACAACUACCAUUAAAAAUCAUGAACACCAAAAUUCCAUUACUAACCAAUCCCUAAAACUUCAACAUUUUUAUAAUUUCAUCCUCAGGUUUAAUAGUUUAAGCUACAACGAGUUCAAAAAAUAUAAAAAUUAUUAAAUAUGUGAGAGAGAAACACUUACAUGCACCAAUUUGCUAACCGAAACUUUAAGCUCAAAAAAUGGAGUUUCUUUUUUUCUUUUUCUUUUUUGGUAGGAGAGAGUUGAGAAGAUGAUGAUACCAUAUUUUAUCUUUUGUUUCUUUUCUUUAAUUAAACUAAUUACCAAAUUAACCUUUUAAUCUGAACUAAAUUAUUAACAUAACAUGACCAUAAUUUUCCAUUAACUAACCAUAAGGUUUAUCUAUCAAUCAAGUCCAUUAUUUUAGUUUUUCUUUAAAAAUCAAGCACAUUUAACUAAUAAAAGCUACUUUAGCAUAUUUUACAAUUUAGUCUUUUUUACUAAAUUAACUAACUAGACAUUAAAAUUUCUUAUCCAAAUUUUAAUACGACUCAAAUAUAACUCUAUAAACAUAAAAUAAACAUAAAAUACUAACUCACUUGUUGGAAUUAUGGUCCUGAAAUAACCAUUUUCGAUACUACUGAAAAAUGGGAUAUUACAUUCAAUCUCUAAUUUAUGCUAAUGAAUGUGAGAGAAUAAUUUUCUUUGUAUAGUAAUACUACAACUAGAAUGUGUUUCGAUCCUAUUCUUAGAAACUGAUAGUAGAAACCCAACUUUUAAUUAGAAACCUCUUGUUUUAAAGUUCAAUGGGUAAAAGCAAGUUAUCGUUAUAUGUCUGUGAUACACUAGUAAAACUCAUUAUAGAAAAAAAAAGUUUAAUGGAAACUAGUGUUAUCCAUUGCGUAUAGAGGAUGAAUUUGAAUACUAUUAAUGAAGUUCAUUGUUUAUUGUUUAAAUGUCUAAAGCAAGGGAAACAUUAAAAGAACUCUACCUAUAUAAACAUAAGAAGUGAUGCCACUUCAACAAGUAAAGGUAGGGUCUCUCUUGUAAAUGUUUAUUAUGAACAAGAUAAGCACAUGAUCAUUUUAGUGCUAAAAGUGAACAACCUCUGAUAGAAAUAUAAAUGAAUAUUAUGUGUAGUGUAUUUCAACUUCUAAUACUAGGAGUUGUGGUUCAAUCUUCGGACACCAACGACUUAUUAGAACUUUGAAAAGCAUCCGCUAAUUGAUGGUUCAUAUUGAGAGAUAUCAUCUUAUAUGCAUAAUAUUUGUUGGAGUGAAUGGCUAUAAAGUAUGGUACCAACAUUUAAACUAAGGGUGAUUGUUAGUAGUUUAUAAUGUUGGCAGUAAAAAUAUUUUAUUAUGUAGAAAAGUCUAAUAACUUAUAAUUAUUGGCCAAAUAAUUGUGUUGUAAAGAGAAUUUUUGUAUGUAAAGUUGUCUUAUAAACUUUAUGUAAAGUUGUGUUGUAAAACAACACAAUUAUAUGAAAAGGUAUCUUAUUAAAAGAUAUAUUCAUAUUAAAGGGUAUCUCAUAAAAGAUACAUCUAUUGGAUGUCUAUAUAAAAGACUUUUCUAUUAGUCAUUUAAAUUGUUUUACUUGGAGUGUUGAGGCCUUUAUUGUAUCUUGAAGGUAUUUUAAAAUCUUAAAGAAAGUGCUCUACAUGCCUCAAAGUCGUUAUAUUUUAUAACAUUAUUUUAUUUUUCUAACUUCUAUUUUCCUAUUAUUUAUUUUUCUAACAGCCAGAAUAUAGAAAAAUUAUUAUGUUUCUAACUAUAUAUUAAAUACGAGUACUACUUGGAAGCCAGCACCCACAAACAUGAUAAAAGUUAAUUUUGAUGAGAGUUUUGACGUGGAAGCAAGAAAUGAGGAAGAGGGUAGUUAUGCAGCAUUGUGAUGGUUUUUUAGUCCGACUACGCAACCAUCCAAUUUAGGGUGCGUUCUACAUUAAGGUGAAAAAGCACUUAAAAAGAACAUUUGGUUUUUACACUUAAAAGUGUGAUGGAAAAAUACUUUUUCAUUCAAAUACAAAAAUUAAGAUAUAAAUGCUUUUGACUUUUAGCUUUUACAUUAGAAUGUGAAAAUUAUCAAAUACUAUUAUUUAUAUUAACUAUUUAAAGUGUAUAUAAAAAUUAGAUUAAUUUAUAUUUUAUAUAUCAUUAUAUUAAAUUAUUUAAAUAUUAUUUAUUAUUAUAUCUUUUAAUAAUUUAUAUAUCAUCUAUUUUACAAAUAAUUUAUAUUAAUUACUUCAAAAAUAUUUGGAACUUAUAUUUCAUGUACCAUUAUAUUAAAUUAUUUAAAUAUUACAUAACUUAAAAUGUCCUUUUCUUUAGACAUGAUAGACUUUUAACGGGAAUUUUUUGUAGUAACGGAGAACACCAAAAACUAAUGAGUACAUUUUUUCAUAGCACUUUUCUACCACUUUUCAACUACAACGGUAAUGGAGAACUAAUCCUUACUAAAGUUACCGAAGCACUAGCUUCCACUGUAGCCAUUGAAAUGGGGCUCCAAUUGGGAUUGCAACACAUUAUUAUUAAAAGAGAUGCUCUCUAAGUGGUUUCGAAGUUGAAGGAAGACAAAGAAGACCUACCAACAAUCGGACCUUGAUAGCAAAGAGUUGAAUACUUGCUAAACAGGUUCAGCAAUGUAGGUUUCAACAAAGAAAGAGGCAUGCUAAUGAGGUGGCACAUCAUCUGGCCAAACAGGGUGCAAUGCCCAAUUUCUGCCCGGGCCUAAUCAAAACAGCCCAAAGCAGAAAGCCCAAUUUUUCUAGACCUAGCCCACAACUAUUUUCAGCACCACCAUGCACCCAUUUUCUCCACCACUCUUCCACUCCAGAACACCCACGAACGGUUUCCCUCCAUGCCAUACAUACCUGCAAAAUAGAUUAAUGACUCAUAGCAGUUGACAGUAGAAAGAAAUAACAACAGGAAACGGUUUUGUACUUGGCUAUAAAGCCUUUGAAUUUUUCAUUGUUUGGUUUUUUUUUCUUUCUUUUUUUUUUCAGAGAGAUUGUACACGAAAUACAUACAAAAAUCAAUAGAAAGCAAUUCAAAGGUGAUUUAUCGCUAUUUAUUGUGUUUUUUUUUUCAAUUGGGUUUACAUACAAGUAUAAAAUAUAAGAGAGAACGAGAGGCUUACCGGAGUUAUAUCGCAUUCACGCCGUCGGUAGGACUAGCUCCGUUGGUCACGAACAGAUUUUGGGAGUGGUUGGGGGCUUGAAAGGAGCCUUUCGGCUGGAGAAUAAAGGGAGAGUGAGGGAGAUGAUAUAAUAUCCAAGGCAUUUAGGGUUUUUUUUUUUAAAUAAAAGUUAAAAAGUUUUCUUUUAAGCACAAUUUUUAAAGCGGGUUUUAGGUGAUAAGAAUGAAACAGCAUGGGGAAGGGAAAGGAAUAGCGUGUUUAACUUGGUCCACGUGCAUUUACCCCUUAAAUGGGUAAUUUUCGUUAUCAGUCCUCCUUACUUGCGUCACCCUUUAUUUGAUCCUAUUCUGUUUCUUUUAUUUUUGCCUUGAAUUUUGCGCACCGUUCCAAUUUAGUCCGAGCAUGAGUGUUGCUUUUUUGGGGUUGGGAACAUUUUCAAUUUUAGCCCUUAUACAUUCACGCGCAUUGCGCUUUGGUCCCUAUUUCAAUUUCAAUGGUUUUUUUAUUUGUUAAUUGUCCCUUUAAUUUUGCUUUUCUUCCAAUUAAGUUUUUAUUUAUUUUUUCCAUAAAAUAAGAAUAUAUUAUUUUAACAUAUAGUUUUGUUCAACAAAAUUCAUAUAUAUUUUUGUAUAUAUUAUUUUAACAAAAUAAGAAUAUAUUGUUUUCUUCAUAUGCAUAUUUAUUUGUUUUUUCUUCCAAAAUAAUUUCAUAUAUCAUUUUGUAUUUAUAUACUUUACUUAUAUUAAGUUUGCUUUAUAUCAUGUAUAUACGUAACUUAUACUAAGUUAUCUUUACUCUAAGUGUACAUUAUUGACUUCCUUUUAUUUUAUGUAAAUAUUUCCUUUUAUUUUAUUUUUUUAUGUAUAUUAUUGAUUUUAUGUUAUUUUAUGCUUGUUUAUUUUCUUCUAAGGACCCUAUUUUAAAUGGUAUAUUUUAUUUAUUUUCGUAUGCUAGUACCUUUGUUUUUUUUAUGUAUAAAUUUUCAUUUCAAGUAUUAUUUAUUUAGAUUGACAAAUACUAUGCUAUGUAUUACUUUUUUUAUAUAUAUACAUUAUGUGUCUUGAAAUAUCGUUUAUAUAUUAUUAUGUCGUACAUUAUUUUUAUUUUUAUUAUUUUUUGACCUAUUCCAGACUGUCAUAUAUGUUACCUUAAGAUUUUUAUACAUUUGUUUGAUUGCAUACUAACGAUUCCAAAUUGCAUUUCUUCUAUAUUAUCUAUAUUAUUUGUUAAAACUUGCCACAUACUUUUAUCUCAUGUACAAAACUAAGCUUGUACACAUGUUAUUGCAUCAUGAUCUUUAAAUUCCAACUCUUUGCCCAACAUCAAUCGUUUUUUAUCCCCAAGCAAACCAAACAAGUAUUUUUAAUUCGGUUUUUAUAACUGUUAAUUUAAAAAUUUCCCAAAACAAAGGCAAUGUUUGAUGUUUGAAAUUUUGGAAAUCGUGCCCUAACGUACUGGGUUUCGAUUUUUCGUUUAUCCAAAAUAAUCAAGUAUCCCCUUUAAAGUUUCGUAUGUGUUUUCUAAACUUCAAAACAAGGCAAUGUUCUAUGUUUUGGAAAUCCGAGAAAUCGUGCCCUAACGUGUUGGAUUUCAAUUUUUCGUUGGACCAAAUGAUCGAGUAUCCUUUUGAAAUUUCAAAUAUAUGAGCUUUUGGAAAUUAAGACUCGGUUGUGGUUUCGAGGGUUUAGAAAGUUAUGUCUUAACGUGCUGGAUGUGAUAUUUUAUUCCUUCAUAACAAAAGAAUUCUUAAUGACCAAUUUGAGUUAUUCAAAUAUUUUAAAAGAAAUAGUAUUUCAAAAUAUCUUUUAAAUUUUAGACAUAAGGACAUUGAUUAAUCAAUUAGGUACCAAUUUUGGGCGUCACGAGGGUGCUAGCCCUUCCUCGUGCGUAACCGACUCCCGAACCCUUUUUUCUCGACUUACGUAGACCUGAAAUUAUUGUUUUAAUAAAUCAAAAUGUUUUAUUAAAAUGAUCAAUUUCAAGGUGAUCCGAUCCCACCUCAGAAGGGAUCGGUGGCGACUCCAAACUUUGAUUUUUCAAAGUCGAUCCCCGUUUUUUUCAAACUUUUAGAAAAUGGUUUCGACACAAGGCCUUAAUUGUUUUCCAUCUUUUGUUCAUAUGUUUGUUUUGAAAAGGUAAAACAAAUCCUCACCUAUUGAUGUUAGAACGGUUGAAUUGCUAAAAGCAUGCUGCGUGCAUAACCAUGCUUUAGGUUAGGCUUCAAAUCAAAUAAAUUUUAAAUUAUUUUUAUUUGAAUUUAAUUAUAAAAAUAUAUUAAUAUCAAUAUAAAAUUAUAUACAAUUUUAAGAUAUUUUAUUUUUCAAUAAUAAAACGAAUCAUCUACCAACCCUAAUUCUUCAGUUUUCUUUUUAAUUAGAUGAUAACUCAAGCCAAGCUAACCAAUAAACACCCAAAAUCUACCAUCAUUUUCAUUUUUUUUUCUUUUGUCACAAAGUAGACAGAAGAUUCGGUUUGGAUAAGCUCUACGUUAUUAAGUCAAAAGCUGAAGUAAUUUUAAUCAUAAAUUGUUUUAUUUGUUUAUAAUGCAAAACAAUGACCCAAUUAAUACAAUAAAGCUUUAACUUUGUGGGAAUUUUCAGUCCAAAAAAAAAAAAACAAUUUGUGGAAAUUUUAGAGCAGUUGACCAUUUCUUCCGAAUUAGUUUUCUCACUUCUUGUCCAUAUUCCAUGUAUAUUAUUUCAAGAAAUUAGGUUUAGAAAAUUGCAUAAUUCAACCAUUGAACUAAUAAAUAUUAAAGAAAAAUUGGGUGGCAAAAAUAUCUUAUUAAAAGCGAAUCAUAUACUAUUAAUAGAUUUUAUGAUUAAAUUAGUUUCACGUGUUAACGGGAUAUUAACUUGAUUUAGUAAAUUAUAAAAAUGUCUUUUAAUGUUUAAAAUAAAUUAUAUUAUUUGAAGAUAUUUUAAUUUUUUUAUUAAAAAAGGAUGAUGUCUCAAAUUAACUCACAAUCUAAUUUAAUUUUUUAUUUUAAUAUCGUAAAUGUUUCAUGUUUUAUUAUUAAUUUGUUUCAAAUUAUACAUUUCAUUAUUUAUUUUAUGUUAUUUUUAAACAUAUUUGUGUUCUAAAUACCAAAUUUUCACUUAAGGGUAUCAGAGACGAAUCUAGAGAGGCUAGUAGGGGCCCCGGUCUCCUUAAAAUGAAAAUUAUUAUUUAAGCCCUUUAGAAAAUUUUAAAAUUUUAAAUUAGUAAAUGUAAAAUUGCACUUUGACCCCCUAAAAUUAUAAAAAUUUAAUUUAAUCUUUUAAAAAUUAUAAAGAUAUAAACUAGUAAAAAUUAAAAUUUCAUUUCGAUCCUCCCUAAAACAUAUUUUUGGCUUCACCUAAAGGGUAUGACUAGUAUGAAUAAUUUUCUUUGGAAGUCUUAAACAAACAGGAGUUAAGUAAAAAGGAGUUUUCAUACAUACAUAUUCGGCGUUGAUGUUUCCCUUUCGAAAAUUUAAAUUAAGACAUAGGAAAAGAAACUAAAAUUGAGCUUAAUUUAUGCAGUUGGGUUCAAAAUUUAAUAUUUAAAUAUAAAAAUUCUAAUAAUUCGAUCUGGUCCGUUUCAUCUAGCAGACUAAUAAUAAAUCUUAAAACAUAUUAUAUUUUAAUUUUAAUAAAACCAAAACUGAUACAUUUGACCUACAUCUACAUGUGAUCUAUGCUUAAUUAAAUUAGUCUAAAUUAGACGAGAUCUUGAUUAGGAGUCAUUUAUUUAUAUUAUAAGUCCCUGAAACAUGCAAAACUUACAUUUAAAAAUUAAUAUUUUUACGUUGUUGUUAGAAUAUAGGGUUUGUUAAUGUUUUCGUGUGAAGUCAGCUGUUGACAUUACCAACCAGAUAAUGAAAAGGGAACAUGGCAAUUAUUCCAUCCUAAUUGUCACACACACACACACACCUAAUUAAGUUAAUCCAAAAAUUACCUAACGUUUAGCAUUUCAAUGGUAGAGUCAGCUCUUUCUUCUAGUCUAUCAAAAAAAAAAAAUCAAUUUAACCCCUAACUCUUGGAUGGAAAAGUUUUUGCUAUGAACUUGUUGAAGUGAAUCUAAUGUGAUAUAAACACAUCACAAUCCAUGUGUGUAAUUAAAAAUAAUAGAGAGAGAUUGAAUAAUUUAAAGGGAAAAAAAAAGAAUUUACUCCCUCCACUAACAGGUAACUCUUGCAGCUUGAAUCUACAACGUAUGUAUGAAAGUGAACACCUUUAAUUAAUGAAUAAAUACUAAAGUUCUAGGUUUAGAAUUAAUUAAAUAUCAAUACAAAAAGUUAAUUACUUUUUGAAAUAAGGAUAAAUCGGUUUUUGAGGUUUGAUAAUUUUUCACAUAUCGAGGUUUGAAUUUUUUUAUCUUAAGUUCUAAACUUGACAAUAGUUCUCAAGAUGUGAAGGUUUUUUUUUUAUCCAAAUUAGGCUAUGAACUUAGAUAGAAAUCUUAAAAUUCAACCCUAAUGUAGGUAUAAUUGUCAAGUUAAAAAAAAUUCAAAUCUUAAUAGAAGAAUAAUCUACUAAUUGGUAACCCUAAUAUAAAAACAAUUGUUAAGUUGAAAACUUAAUUUUUUUUAAAAAUUCAAACCCUUAUUAACUUUAGGAUUUAACCCUUUGAAAUAUUGCGUUAAUUAAUAAGUGUAAGAAUUAUUUUGUGUUAAUGAUUAAAUAAAUAUUUAAGUGGAGAUCAAGUUUUACCUCAUUUGUCAAUUGUCAGGUGAAGAAUAUAUACCCUAAAGGCCUAUCAAAAACGGACCUAUCUCUAUAUAUCUUUACUAAUUUACUAUUCAUUUUUAAUGAAAAGCAAUAAAUUAAUGAAAACGCUAUAAAACGAAAACUACAUGAAUAAAUUAUAUGUGUAAAAUUGAAAUAUUUCGUGACGACAUUAUUGAAAAAAAUAAUCAUUAACCUUAAAUAUAAACAAUUAUGACAUUUCUAUAAAAUAUCAUUUAAUAUAUUGCAUCAAAGUUUUAAAAAAUGUUAUGUGUAUACUUUUACCUCGUAUAAAAAAGUCUUUCAUUUCUCAAUUCUUAUGGCAUAGUAAAUUUAUUAUUAAUUUUUAAAAAAAAUGGUUAUUAUUUGUGUAUUAAAUAAUUAUUGGGAUAAAUUUUAAAGUUGUACAUGGAUUUUGGUUACAUGUUAAUUAUAAACAUUAACUUUGAUUUUAUAUAAUUUUAUAUAUGAAAUUUUAAUUUGAUCCAAUUCUCAUAAAUUAUUAACAUAAUUAUUGAUAUAAUAUCAUUUUAUGUUUAUAUGCUAUAUACAGAAAUAAUUAUAUUUAUUCAAUAUAAAAAUUAAUUGAUGUAUUUAUUUCUUUAAACGUAUAUGAUUGAAUCAAAAUUAAAACAUCAUGUAUACAUUUGAACCAUAACUAAAAUUUUACAUAUAUAAUUAUACAAAAUUACAAUUCAUAUACGUAAUAAACUAAAAUUCAAUUUUUUUAUAAAAUUAACCUAAAAAAUUUAAUUAAUUACAUAAAUGACCCUUUUUUUUAUUAAACACGUAAAUGACCUAAAAUCUACCGUGAAAAUUGGUGGAAGCAAAGAGUUUGGCACCACCAACAUGCCACGUCAGCAACCAAGAUAAAAAAAAUCAACUUUUUGGUAGAGCCAUGCAUAAUAGUGCUACUUGUAUAAAUAUCAGGAAAAUACUAUAAUUUCUAAAAAAUAAGGGACUUUAAUAAAAAAAAAUUCUAUUUUCUGGUGGAGCCAAAUAAAUUGGCGCCACCAGUUUCCAAUGUGAUUUUUUUUAAAGUUUUCUAAAAUUUUAAAUAUAUUAAAAAAUGUUAAGUAUAAUUAAUUUUAAAAGUUUAAUAUAUUUAAAAAUUUAAUAUACUUAAUAUAUAUUUUUAAUAGGUAAAGAAAAAAAUGAUUUUUUAAUAUAUUUAAAAUUUUAAAAAACUUAAAAAAUUUAAAUACUUUAAAAAAUAUUAAGUAUAACUAAUUUUAAAAUUUUAAUAUAUUUAAUAUAUUUUUAAAAUAUUUUUAAAAUUUUUAAUAUAUUUAAAUUUUUUAAAGUUUUUUAAAAUUUUAAAUAUAUUAAAAAAAAUUUCCUCAUUACCUAUUAAAAAUAUAUUAAAUAUAUUAAAAUUUUAACAUAUAUUUUUAAAAUAUAUAUUAAAUAUAUUAAAAUUUUAAAAUUAGUUAUACUUAACAUUUUUUUAAUAUAUUUAAUUUUUUACUAUUUUUUAAAAAUUUUAAAUAUAUUAAGAAAAUAUUUUUUAUAUUUACCUAUUAAAAAUAUAUUUUAAGUAUAUUAAAUUUUUAAAUAUAUUAAACUUUUAAAAAUAAUUAUACUUAACAUUUUUUAAUAUAUUUAAAAUUUUAGAAAACUUUAAAAAAAAUUACAUUUGAAACUGAUUGGCUCCACCAGAAAAUAGAAAAUUUUUAUUAAAGUCCCCCCAUUUUUUAGAAAUUAUAAUAUUUUUUUGAUAUUUAUACAAGUGGCGCCAUUCUACAUGGCUCUAUCAAAAAGUUGAUUUUUUUUAUCCUGGUUGCUGACGUGGCAUAUUGGUGGAGCUAAACUCUUUACCUCCACCAAUUUUCACAGAAAAUUUUAAGUUAUUUAUGUGUUUAAUCAAAAAAAUAGAUCAUUUAUAUAAUUAAUUAAAUUUUUUAAAUUAAUUUUAUAAAAAAAACCCUAAAAUUCAUAUAUAUAACUGUAAGAUUUAUGUCCACAAUUAUCUAAAGCUAAUCGGUGAUAAUUACUAUGGAAAUUCAAUGUACUUAACUAAUUGAUUGAUAGGAACAAGCAUGAUGAAAUCCAUGAUUGGGAAGAGAGAGAAUUCAAAAACUGAACGCCCCAUUAAUCCAUGCGAAUAAACUUUUUCGGUAUACAUCAUAAUUCAUUUAAUUUUAUCAUUAUCUCUAUGCUAUAAUUAUGUUUAAACUAAAAUACUUGAGACAUUAAUAGUUUGUGUUAUAUAAAUUAUGAUAUCCAUAUAUCCAUAUUAUAUAUAUAUUUUUAUAUUAUGAAUGCAUUUAAAAAAAAAUUAUGAAAAAUGUAGAGUCCGCAAAUAAAAAAUGGCUUACAAAUUAACAGAAAACCAAUUUUAUUUCUUGUAAAUUGAUUUACCAUAUUAAAAAGUGUAAAUCUUUUUUUAAAUUUAUUUACGAGUAAUUUUAUUUUUAUAAAAAUUAAUUUUAGCCAAGCCUAAUAUUAUUUUAUUAAUAAUAUUAUUUUUAUUUUUAUUUUUAAACAAUUUAAAAUUAUUAAUAUCAAAUAUUAUAAUGUUGAAUCCUAGUAACAUACAUAUUAAAUUAUUUAUAUUAUGUUAUAUUACAAUUUUAUUUUAAUAAUAAAUUUUAACAACAAUAAUUUUAAAUUUUAAAUCGUAUUUUUAAUAUAUUAUUGAAAAAUAUUUAUAUUAAUAUUUUAAUAAUAAAUAUAUAUUAAAAUUUAUAAAUAUUUAAUAAUAAAUUUUUUAUAGUAUAAAAUAUGAAUAUUUUAAUUAUAUAGAUAUGAGUAUUUGUUUAAAUCAUGCUUAAGUUCAUUUAUCUCCCAACUCUAAUGUGUCAUUAUACACUGUCAUAUAUAUAAUAUAUGUAAUUUAAGCAUUAUUUAUUAUUAAAUUUAUAUAUGAUAUUAAUUAUAAUAAAAUAUUAUCUUAUUAUAAAAGAAAUUCCAAUUGUCAAAAAGAAAUGUUACUCUAAUAUUUUGUAAUAAGUAUAUUUAUAUUGUAUUUGUUUCACUAAUAACAAAUUUAAAAUGAUUUUAGAAAAAAAUAUCAAAAAAUAAAAAAUAUUUUAAUCAAAAUAAUUCAAAUAAAAAAAACUAAACUUUUCCAUGAAAUCAAUCCAAUUUUAAGAAAACAUUAAAAUUGUUUUAGGUGAAACAAAAGGAACCUAUAUUUUAUAUAGUAUUUGAAAAGUUGUUGUAUCUAGAAUUAUUAUCUUUAAUUUUUUUUAGGUCUAUUUCUAAUUUUCAAAAAUUGAGAAGUUAAUUUCUCUAUUUUACUUUAUCAGUCCGUGCUUAUUUUUUAUUAAUUUGUUGUGUAUAAAUGGUUAAACUAUUGAUUUUUGUUAAUUACUAGCAUGUAAAUUGUUAAACUACUUGUUCCCAAGUCAACAGUAAAGCUUAAUAGUAUUAUCAAUUUGGAAUAAUUUCUGAGAUUUUUCUUUUAUUUUGCGUGAUUAAGAUAUUUUUCAUGUACGGUUUAAGGUUUAUGAAGACUAAUCCUUUCGAGUUUAUAACUACCCUUUUUAAUAAUGUCGUCUUUAAAAUUCGAGUUCUCUUUCUUGUAAGUACAAUAUGCCUUACAUUUAUAACUAAUACUUCUUAUUUUUGUAAAAUAUAAGAAUCAAAUUAUGUAGUAAGAUUAAUUUCUAGAUUUUUUAAAUUUAAAAUUUAACAUUUAAAAUAUUAUCAAUCACAUCACACACAAAACCAAAGAGCAAGAGAAUCUAAAAAACACGUGGACCAUUAAUUUAGGAAUGGACAGAAACUCAUGCAAAAUGGUUGGAAAACACGUACAGGAUUAUAUAUACUAAUCAUUUUUAUUAUUAAGCAGAAUUGGAAAUAAAUAAAUACGGGCGAAACCACUGAAUAAUACAGCAUUGAAAUGCAAUUUGUCUACAUCAUUAUUGUUCUUCACUUCAAACGCGGAGACUAGUCUAGGGUCCCAAUCUUUUGCUUUAUCUCUCUAGAUAUAUCCUUUUCAAACUAUCUUUUUGUAGCUUUAUUUGCAUCACAGCAUUAUCUUUUCCUGCAAACAACUGUUUAAAGAUUAAAACAUGCAAAACAUUCUGAAAUAAUGCACCCUGACCAGAUGACAAAAAAAAAAGAGGAUUCUAAUGUAUCUUACCUUGGAUUGGAGCACGGUCAAAGCCGUGGCUUAGUAGUGGUGAGGAGGAGGGGGUGAAGCGUAGACAUAAUGGGGUGGGGGUGGAGGAGGAGACUUGUAUUUGUAAACUGGAGGAGGAGGUGGUGGAGACUUGUACUUGUAAGGGUGCUUGGGGGGUGAUGGUGGGGGUGGUGGGGGUGACUUGUACUUGUAGGGGUGCUUGGGUGGUGACGGUGGGGGUGGGGACUUGUACUUGUAAGGGUGCUUGGGGGGUGAUGGUGGUGGUGGUGGAGGUGACUUGUACUUGUAGGGGUGCUUGGGUGGUGACGGUGGUGGUGGUGGGGGGGACUUGUACUUGUAGGGAUGCUUUGGUGGGGAUGGUGGUGGUGGUGGUGGGGACUUGUACUUGUAGGGAUGCUUAGGUGGGGAUGGUGGUGGUGGUGGAGACUUGUAUUUGUAAGGAUGCUUUGGUGGUGAUGUUGGUGGAGGUGGUGGGGACUUGUACUUGUAAGGGUGCUUGGGUGGUGAUGGAGGUGGAGGUGGUGGAGACUUAUACUUGUAAACUGGAGGUGGUGGGGGUGGAGACUUGUACUUGUAGGGGUGCUUGGGUGAUGAUGGAGGUGGAGGUGGUGGAGACUUAUACUUGUAAACUGGAGGUGGUGGGGGUGGAGACUUGUACUUGUAAGGGUGCUUGGGUGGUGAUGGUGGGGGUGGGGACUUGUACUUGUAGGGGUGUUUAGGUGGUGAUGGUGGUGGUGGUGGUGGGGACUUGUACUUGUAAGGAUGCUUGGGUGGUGAUGGUGGUGGAGGUGGAGGAGACUUGUACUUGUAAGGAUGCUUGGGUGGUGAUGGUGGUGGAGGUGGUGGAGACUUAUACUUGUAAACAGGAGUUGGUGGGGGAGGAGAUUUGUACUUGUAAGGUUUCUUGUGUGGUGGUGGUGGAGGAGAGUAGACCGGAGGAGGCGGUGGGGGAGACUUGUAAUGGUAGGGUGGUGGUGGGUAUUUCUUAGGAGGUGGUGGAGGAGAAGAAUAAGUGUAAUCUGCAGAGGUUUCAAAAGGCAAACUGAGAGACACUGCUAGAACUAAAAGAGUGAGAAAGAGAGAGGUCAUUGAUGACCCCAUUUCCCCCAACUUUACUUCUAAAAAUGGGUUUAAUUUGGUUUAUGCUCGUAGACACCCUCUUCUCUCCCUUUAUA